AGGACUGCUGUGCUCUCAGGAGCACGGAGGCCUCCGUGCUCCUGAGCCGUUUUCGAUGAUGGAAUUUUCGAAUCGACAAUCGGCUCCGUUAGACUUGAUCUAACGUAUUUGAAGUUUCUAGAAAAUAAUUUUUGUGAUUUUUCGAUAUCAUUUACCUAGCAAUUGAAAGUAUUCAAAAUCAAUAAUUUUUAACGGCUGAAAAUAAAAAUCUUAUAAAAAGUGGUGAUAUAGUACUAAAAUUUUCGAUCAAAAAUAUUGAUCUUAUUGUAGAUAGUAUAAAGAAUUUUGUAUCAAAAUUUCAUCUGAUUUGAAUACUUCUACACCGUUAAACUUGAAAAUGGCAGAUAUUAACCAUUAAAAAUUAUUGAUUUUGAAUCCUUUCGAUCACUAUGUAAAUUAUAUCAAAAAAUCGUAAAAAUUAUUUUCAAAAAAUUUCAAAUAUGUUAGAUCAAGUCUAACGGAGCCGAUUGUUGAUUCAAAAAUUUCAUCAUCGAAAUGCUGACAAAGUUGGUGUUGUGCUUUAAACGCUGACAAAGUUGCCCCAAGUUAGAAAGGUUUAUAAUUUUUUUUUCCAUGCAUGUACCACUCGUUACUGCUUAUUUAGACAGUACUGCAAAUUUGGAUAGUACUUUAUAUAUGUUUUGACUUGCUGGCAUUAAGAUGCUCAUAGAAGACUCUGGAAACGUGUAAUAUCUAGAAAUUUGAAUUUGAAUAUAUAUAUAUAUAGAGAGAGAGAGAGAGAGUGCGGCUAGGAUGCUUAUGGAAGUACGGAGGGCUCCGUGCUUCCACUUUGUUUUCGAUGUUCGGACUUUCGAAUCGACGAUCGGCUCCGUUAGACUGAUACUAGAGUAUUUGAAUAUCUAGAAAAUAAAUUUUACGUUUUUCGAUUAUCACGUGGCUCAAAAUCAAGCAGCUUGAAAAUAAAAAUCUUACAAAAUAUGAUAAUAUGACAUUAAAUUUUAGAUCAAAGUUAUUGAUCUUGUUUAUAUGGUAUAAAAUUUUUUAUCAAAAUUUCAUGUGAUUGGAUAUUUCUACACGUUAAACUUGAACCGGCUCACACACGGCUAUUAAAAUUAUUAAUUUUGAGCCCCUUCGAUCACUAGGCCAAAUGAUAUCGAAAAUAUACAAAAUUUAUUUUCUAGGUACUUCAAAUACUCUAGAUCAACUCUAACGGAGCCGAUCGUCGAUUGAAAGUCCGAACAUCGAAAAACAACUUGGAACACGAAGGGCUCCGUGCUUCCAUAAGCCAUACCAGCACCUCUCUCUCUCUCUCUCUCUCUCUCUCUCUCUCUCUCUCUACCUACUAUAUAUAUAUAUAUAAUAUCUCUCUCUNNNNNNNNNNNNNNNNNNNNNNNNNNNNNNNNNNNNNNNNNNNNNNNNNNNNNNNNNNNNNNNNNNNNNNNNNNNNNNNNNNNNNNNNNNNNNNNNNNNNUUAACGGUAUAAAGGAAUCGGAAUAAGUUGAAUUUUUGAUAGAAAAUUUUAUUCACUACUUAGAUAAAGAUCAAUAACUCUGAUCUUAACUUGAAGGAUCCAAUCAUCCAUUUUUAGGACGUCGUUCGAUUUCGACUGUUCAUUUUAUGCCCGCUUGAUGGACUUUAUUAUAAUUUCAAAAAAUUAUGAAAUUUAUUUUUUAAAAGUUUCAAAUGCUCUAGAUCAUAUUUAACGGAGUGGAUCGUCGAUUCGAAAGCUCCAUCAUUGAAAAAAAAACUUAUGAAUACGAAGAACUCUAUACUCAAAAGGCUCCAUUUGGUUCGGGAAUUAAUAGGAAUCAGUUAUACCGGAGAUAAAUACAAGUAUGGAUUUUUGUAAGACUUAACAAGGAUAUUUUUUUUGUUUGGAUGAAAAUGUGAGUAUAAGCUGGAACUAGAAAAAUUGCGUUUGGAUGGUUAUUGGGAAUAAGAGCAAUAGUUGUUAGUUAUAAAUAGAAAAUAAUAAUAUUAUCCCUAUAAUUGAAUUUAAAUUUUUAAAUUUUAAACUUAUAUUUUAAAUUGAAAAUUGAAAAUGUUAACUUUAAAUUUUAAAAAUUGAAAUUAAAAUUUAAAAUUGUAAUUUUAAAUAUCAAAUUUGAAAUUUAAGACGCAAAUUUGAAAUUUAAAUAAACAAACAUAAUCAUAUUUAAAAAUUAAAAUUAAAUUUAAAAAUAUAAAUUUAUAAUUAUAAUUAUUAAAUUUAAAUUUAAUAAUUAUAAAUUAUAAAAAUUUAAAUUUAAACUUGAAGAAAUAAUUCUCUACUCUCUCUCUUCUCUCUUUCUCUCUCUAGUGGUGUGGAAUCACCCGCUUAGUCAGGUAUUCUACGAACCUCGCUAAGGUGGGAAUAACAGUUCUCAUUUGGGUUGACUCUUUGUUUGGGUAGCCAAGAUGCCCGCUUAAUACCCAUCUUGCAUCCUAUUCCAACCAGGGUGUAAGAGUAUAGUAACCCGUAUCUCAUCUCUCUCAUCUCGUCUUUUAUAUAUUAUAUUAGUAAUAUAUAUAAUUAUAUAUAUAUUACAUAUCUAAGAGAGAGAGAGAGAGAGAAGAGUUUGGGCUAGAAUAUUACUAUCGAUCAAACGGCUCCGUUGGCGCACCCAUUUGUUUUCGAUGAUGGAGCUUCUAAAUUGACAAUCGGCACCGUUGAACAUGAUCUAUACCAUUUGAAGUGUUUAGAAAUCAAAUUUUAUAUAUUUUCGAUAUUGUUCUCUUAUCCAUCGAGUGGACACAAAAAUGAACGGCUGAAAAUGAAUAUUCUUUAAAAAAUGAUGAUAGGAGUCUUGUAAUCAAGAUCAAGAGUAUAAAUCUUGUUCUAAAUAGUUUAAAAAAUUUUCUAAUCAAAAUUUAAUUGAUUUUGAUAUCUUUACACCGUUAAACGAGAAAAUGUCUUAUAAUUAAAAUUGCAAAAUUUGAACCUUUGAUCAUUAGGCCAAUGAUGUCAAAAAGAUUUAAAAUUUGAUUUCUAAAUACUUUAAGUGGUAUAGAUCAUGUUCAACGGUGCCGAUCGUCGAUUUGGAGGCUCUAUCAUCGAAAAUAAAUGAGUGGCAAUAGAGCUCGUUUGCUAUUGAUAGUAUUCUAGCUCAACACUCUCUCUCUCUCUCUCUCUCUCUCUCUCUCUCUAUAUAUAUAUAUAUAUAUAUAUAUAUAUAUUUCUACAGCUCUAUAUAUUUCUACAGCUCUAAUUUGUAAAAAGGCACUGUUUCAGGCCCUAGGGCAUGACAUUUGCUCUCUCCAAUAAAAUUAAGUAAUUAAAUACUCAUACUUUUCCAAUUAAAUCAAAUUCAGUUAAAAUCUUAUCUCAUAAGAUAUUAUGAAUAUUUAAUUAUUCUCUAAUUCAAUUAGAGAUAAGUAUGAAUCUCUCUAAUAUUUAAUUAUAUUUUAUCUAAUUUUAUUCUUAUCCAAUAAGAUUAUGUACUAAAUAUUAAAUCUCAUUUAAAUAUUUUAUGAUUAAAUAUUAUUCACUAAUCCGAUUAGUGGUAAAUUUAACUUUUGUGUAUAAUUCUCAAACUAAUUAUGAAAUCCUAAUCUAAUUAGAACUAUCAGUUAUAACUGAUUUGAAUAAUUAAAUCUAAUUUAAUUAAGCAGCUCCUCUUAUGUGAACGGCUCUCAUCCAAACAAUUUAGGUGCACACAAUUCCUGAUGUGUCUGACUGCAUAGGUUCAUUACCAUUCGGCAAUGGAGUUCAACAUCAAAACUUUUUGAUAUUUAAUUAAAACUCUUCUAAUCGAUAAAUAAGAACAAUUCAAUUCGAAUCAUUCAUAUUUUCUCACCGUUCGUGAGUGACACCUAGCAGUAUAUCACGACAAUCCAGAAUUGUGAUGAAGAAUAAACCUUUUCGCUUACAGUUAUCGCGUGAUUAAUUUUUUCCAACGUACAAUGUCCUAAUCGAACUAAGGUCAUGGUUACUUGCCAAACCUUAUCCUUCGACCAUAUGACUAGAAUAUCUGAAAGCAACUCAAUAUGGUUACAUAGUUGGAAACUCUUUUCACAUACCACAUAUCCUGGCGAGAGAUUUUUUGAGUCUAAUUUGAUAGACUGUAUUGGAUGUUCUCCCUUAUCAUUGAGAGUGUUGGAUUUCUUAUUGCGCAUUCAUAUGGCUUCCCGCAUAAAUUACUAUAGCCAAUCAGUACCGAACAUAAACCCAUAUCUAGACGAGUCUAAGUAUCAGUACUGUCAAACGGUAGCAACCUAUACGUGAAACAACUAUAAUACCUCUGGUCUGAGGAGUACUUCACACAAAUGUAGCAAUGAACUUGUCAUUGGCGAGCAUGGAACCAUGUGACUGUUCAACUAAAUAGUCAUGCUCAGUGUACUUGUUCUCUAUCAAGCACUUGUAUAUUUGUUCUAAUGUCCCUACACUAGUGACUUGAGAUUCGUCAACUCAAUUAGAAACAUAGUAUACACCGGCCUAUCCAGAAUAACAUCGUCCAGACUAUUUAAAGAAUCUCAUACAGAAAAGUACAUAUCUCAAAUUUCUAACUCUUAAGAAUAUGUCUUUUCAAACAAAGACCCUAUGAACAAUUUAUGUUAAUAUUAUACUAUUAUACAAUAGACAUGAAUAGGUUAUAUGCCCUCAUAUUAUGAAUUAUAAAUGAUUACUACAUAAAUACCCUAAAGCUAGUGUCACCAGAUUGGCUUUUAGGCAUAUAACUAACAACAUAUGCAUACGCCCUUGUUAGGGUGUAAACGAGCCGAAUAAGGAGCCGAGCAGAUCGGGCUUAGUGUUUCAGCAUCGUUUAAUAAGAAAGGCCGAACACGAGCUGGCUCGUUAAAGUGUCGAGCCGAAAUUCAGCUCGUGUUUGGUCGUAAUAAGUAGCCAACACGAGCUAGCUCACGAGCUGGCCAACGAACAUAAGUUAAAAAGAUUAGAUUAAAUAUAUAUAAAAAAUAAAUUAUAAAUAUUAUCCUUUAGACUUUAUCUGAUAGUUGGCACGUUUUACAUUAGAUGAAGUACUUUUUUAGUUGAAGCUCUGCCUUUAUUUUUUAUUUUGUAAAAAUUAAAUAAUAAAAAUAUAUAUUAUAUAUAAUUAUUUAUUUAUAUAUAUAAAUAUAAAUUAAAUAAAUUAUAUAAAUAUAAAAUAUAUAUAUUCGAGCUGUUAUCGAGCUGAAGACGAGCGAGCUGACUCCAGCUUGUGUUCGGCUCGUUUAUUAAACAAGCCGAAAAAUUUAGCUCAUGUUCGGCUCGUUUACUAAACGAGUGAUUCGAUCUCGAGCUCAUUUCGAGCCAAACACAAGCUGACUCAUGAACGGCGAGCUGGAUUGCCACCCCUACUGCUUGUCAUGCAGCUCUACUCGGUUAUGAAUGAGUAACGAGAAUUUGAUUCAAGUACUUUCAUAAUGGCACAUAAUUGUCAUUGUUAUACUGCAAUAUGUCCGUUGAAGAGUUAUGAACUGAAAAGAAUUAACAAAUUAAAAUUAAUGGCAUAACAACGACACAAUUUUCUACUCCCUUGUAGCAGUGGGUUCCUCGUUAAUAAGAAUGGUGGGAGCAGAAAGGAGCGGAUUGGCAACAGAAGGAUUUACCAAUAAGACAUUUUUUAAAGAAGCCCAUUAAGUCUCCUUAUCCUAAAAAUAAUAAUAAAGCUUCAAACAAUAAGAUUCAGGUUUACUGCGGUACUCUGCGGUCGACCGCCUUUCACGAAUGAUUGACCAAUUGCUAACUCGAGGGUUGUCUAUCCUUGAUUAUCUUAUCCAGUGAACUGUCAAGAAGCUUAUAUCGAUUGUAUGAUAUCACGAGGCUUAAAACCUCAGGUCGGACAUUGCUGAACUGCAUCCAGAAGUAGGGCGUUAUCUUCUCUGAGUGUCCCCAACCACUAAAGGGUAAAGCUAUUCAGAAUAGGACAAUGUGUGAAUGAGGGAAAGAAGGAAAAGAAGAAGCAUCUCAAGCACGAUUUUUUUAUCUUCAGUUUCUCGUCGAUUUGUUUUUCGGCUCGUCGCCAACUUUGCCUUUACUUAAGUGCUCUAUUGCAUAACUCUUCCCUUGAUGACACCGAGCGUUGUAGAUAAGUAUUAGGUGGCUAGGUUGAGGAGUAAGGGAUAGGUAGUGAGACAAGGAAAAGGGUAGAAAAAGGAGAAGGAAGGGAAAAAGAAGAAGGAAGGAGAAUAAGAGAAGAAUAAGAGAAAAUGGGAGAAUUGGCCUCCACUCUAGAAUACGAGGGCAGAGCUUAAAAGAGGGAGUAGAUGAGGGGCAAAGAAGAAGAGAAGAAGAAUAAUGAAAGAAGAAAGAAAGGAGACAAAGAAAGAUGAGGGGCUGGAUUAGAUUGACUUACAGUCGAAGCAUGCAAGCACUGUGUGUUUGUACACUUUAAGUGUGAUAGGUGUACACUAUCUUUCAGCUUGAGCUUAUGGAAUUAUUGGUUGGCGCUUUCGAUUCACAGAGAGGUUCAAGGGUGAUAAUAGAUAUAGGGGGGUGAGCAUAAAUAUAAAACUGUUCAAAAUAUCCGAUAUUCCAUACCCAAUCCGGACCCUACCCAGGCCUAUAAAAUAUAGAAAGUUGGGUUAAAAAAAAAAAAUACCCGUUAACGUUUCAGGUACGGAUUCGGAUACUUCAUAUCCAUACUUGACUUGGACCCAAUCUGUACCCGACCGAACCCGACCUUUUAAUAGGUAGGAUUCGAAAUAUUUUUUAAAUCAGGACCCGGACCUACUUGAAUAUCUGAUAGUAAAUAAAAAAGAUUUUAAGUUGAGGGACCGAUUUCAAUAGGACUUAUAGAUGAGGAAUCUUUGGGCGUGUUUGGUUCGCUUAUUUUUCACCCUGGAAUCGGAAUGGGAAUGGACGAAUCCGUUUGUGGGUGUUUGGUAUGCGGGGGUCCCAUUCCGAUUCCAAUUCCCGAGUGGAAUGGGAAUCCCCAAAUCACCCCUUUUUUCAAUCCGGCCUCCUAGGCCGGAUUGGAAGUUAAAUCCGGACGGAAUGAAUAUUUAUUCGAAUUAAAUUUAUUUUUUCAACUUUUUUAAUUAAAAUAUGAGUUAAAAUUUAAAAAAUAAAUAUAUAAUUUUAAAUUUUAAUUUGAACUUAAAUUAAAAAUUAAAAUUUAAUCAAGUAUUUUGAAUCUAACUUAUGAAUUUGAAUUUAAAUUAAAUUUUAAUUUAUAUAAAGUUUAUUCAAAUUUUAUUUCAAACUUAAAUUAAAUUUAUGAUUCAUAAUAAUAAUUUAAAUUGUAUUAUUUAAGUUGAAUUUGAAUAAAUCAAAAUUUAAUUUCAUACUUUGAAUAUCCCCACUCAACUUCAAAGUUUUAAUUUUUUUAAAAAAAUAGAUUAAAAUUUUGACAUUAUUUUCAAAAUUUUGAUGUAAAAUUAAUAUUUAAUUUGAAUUUAAAUUAAUAUAUUAUAAAGAUAAUGUUAGUAUAUUAAUUUGAUUAUGUUUUUUAUAUCCACCUGAACCAAACACCGACAAUGGAAAUGAUUUAUUACGAUUUCGAUUCAGGUGAUGAACCAAACCGAAUUAGGUAAUGAGUCAUUCCGAUUACGAUUCCAGCUUAUUUUGAUUCCGAUUCCGAUUCCGACUCCGACUUCGAACUAAACACACCCUUUAUAUAUUUUCAUUCUAGUGAAACCCUGACUGCUCUGUUUACUCCUUCAUUAUUAUUAUUAUUAUUAUUAUUAUUAUUAUUACUUUGUUUUACUUUUUAUUUUUUUAACCUUAGCUGCUCUGUUUACUACUUGAAUCUUCCUCUCUAAACAAGGAUCUUUAUUUAUUGUUGAAGUUAAAGAAAGGAGUAAAAAAAAUUAAAAAAAUAAAAAAUCAAACUCUAGCUGCUCUAUUUCCUUCUACGAUUUCUCUGACCAUCUUCGAUCCUACCUUCUCCUCACCUAAGCAGCUUGUCUCCGACGUCUCAUCUUACUAAUUGAUCUCUUUCUAAUCUGACAAGUAGCCUGCCACCCCACCUCGUCAAGCAGCUCGUCUUCUCUUUUGUCGAUCAAGAAGCCAAAAGAUUUUUAAGCUGCACGCCUGUGCCUCUACAUAAUUCCAAUCAUGGGGACUGCAUAGUCACAUCAGGCAAUUGCCAUUAAAAAUCAUAAGAUUUAUCUUAGUAAAUCUCAAUAAAGGACUAAUAUAUGCAAAUAAGAACGCGCAUACGAUUUAGACCUGACCCGUAACCGAUCCGUACCCGGUCUUUAAGUAGGUAGGAUACGAGUAGUCACUUCCAGACCCGCUCAAAUAAACCUGAUGAGUAUAUUAGUAACUCAAGUACUCAGACCUGGACCCGAUCCGAAGAUAAAUAUAUAGGGUAUAUACUUUUUUUCCUACUAAUUUCUUUUUAAGAGGAGGGGUAUAAUAUAUCAACUAUAUAUCCAGACUCGAUGCGAUCCACAAAGGCAAGAGGGGAGAGAGGACGGUGCGCACGUAUCGCCGCCCCGUCGAUUGAACAAGGCGGUGACAUAUACUACAAAAAUUUAACAAUUUAGAAAACUUUCAAUUUCUAUUAACUAUGCUUAAAAGUGUUUCGAUAUAGUGUAGUGUCACAUUUGAAAGCAUUGGUUAAAGUAUCGGCAAAUGAAGAGUCACGACACAUAUACCAAGCGUCGGUAAAAUAUAUUCUGACACUUUAAAGUGUCAGGAUAUUUUAAAAUUCUGACGCUUUAAAGUAUCGAAAAAUUAAAAAGAAUAGUUAAGUUUAUGAUUUAAUAUAUUGGUUUGAUACAUAUAGGAUUCAUAUGUUGAUGCUUUCUGAAACAUCAGUAUUUGCUAUAUUGUAGGGACGCUUGCUGCAAGCAUCAUCUUAAAAACGUGCUUAUAUUGAGAUUUUCUUGUAGUGCAUGACGAGUGGGAGAGGACAAAAAAUGACUAGACAAAUCGAGCAGUAAAUUAUGAGCCACAAGUAGCUUUACUCUUUUAAACCCUAAAAAAAAUUUAGUUAAAAGUGAUGAGAAAAAUAAUGCAUAAAAGACCACAAUUUGGUAGGCUGGAGUUAUCUUUUUUAUUUUUCCUUUUAAUAAGUGUGGUAUACGAUUUAAUAAUAAAGCUAGAAAAAAAAAUGUCCAACGCUGCCAGAACUUAAGCACUUUUGUAAACAAGCGCUUGGACUUUAAAUUUCAACAAAUAGACUCCUUCAAAUUUAUCAAGUAGUUCAAUAGGUCCAUCUUCUCAAUCGAAAUUAUUAAUUGCUAAGCCAUUUUGGUUACUUGUAUUAAUUGCAUAUAAUCUUAGAGGGAGCAUUGAAUUCUCAAGGACCAAAUUUAUUUUUUUAUUCUAACAUAUUUGAAAAUAGUAAUAAAUAUUAAAUAUGGAUUCGCUUUAUUCUUCAAUUAUAACGCUUUUAUCGUUAUUAUAAUAAAAAGAUAGAUUUUUUUUUGUCAUGCUAAAUUUAUUUGAGGAGUGCAAGACAAUAUGAGCAAAAUGGCUGUUCAAGCAGUAACUUUAUUUGAGGAGAGGGAUUCAUUAAAUUAUUUAAUAAAGUUAAGAGGGUUAAUAUAUAGUUGUCAACAAGUUUAAACCUAAAGAACCUGUAGGCAAAAAUGGCAAAGUUUUGAGGGGUCUUUCUACCAUUUUCCAUGAUGGUCCACAAACUAACUUGAUGGACCAAGUCCACGGAAUAAUUUUGGCUUUCCUUUCGGAGGCAAACGAAGCACGCGAGCACGCCUGGUGGGUCCCCCGUUGACACCACCGUCAGCGGUCGUGAUCAUGACGUCAUCAAAUCUCUUCCAUCGCUCACACGGUCUCACCAGGCUGGCAAAUGAGAGAGCCCUCUCACGUUGGGCGAGCGUUCGAAAUUAAAAUUUAUUUCAAGUCAAAUUUGAGUGUUACUGGGCUCACUCAAAUAGGACUCAAAGACACAGUAUUUGGAACAAAGGAGAAUAAGUUUUUGUUUUCUCUUUUGUUCUCGAACAUUACGUUUGGUAUCCGAAAAUAGUAGUUUUCAGAUUUUUGAAAUAAACUGGUAUAAGCCUGAGGCUACUGUUCCACCCUUUUUUUCUGUAAUAAGCUUGUUCCCAGAUAAGAACAAAAUUUAUUAAAGUCUAAAUUUAAUUUUAAUUAUGGUAUUAAAUUAUUAAUAAUCUAAUUAAUAUAUUUAAAUCAUUAUUUAUUACUUAAAUAAUAAAAUAAUUAAUUAAUUUAUUAUUUAUAAUUAAUUAUUAAUAAUUUAAUGUAUUUAUCCAUAAAUUAAAAUUUAUAUUGAUCAACCAUUAAUAUUUCUAUUAAUCUAAUUAAUUUUUUUACUAGUUAUCUAGCUAAAAUAAUUUACGUUAAAUUAUUUAUAUUUAAUUAAUUAAUUAAUAUAUUUUUAUUAUCUUAUACAAUAUUCAUAUCUAAUAAAUUUAUUAAUUUAUUAAAUUAUUUUUAAAUAAUAUUUUGAUGUUAAUUAAUUAGAUAAAAUAAUUUUAAUUUAAAAUUAUAACUCUUAUUUCCUUUGUUCCAAUCUAAUCAUCUAAACACUAUUUAGCUUAUUUCUAGGAAUAACUCAAUUUUCAUCCAAACACAAAAUUAGUCUAGUUUUUACUUAUAUCUGAACUUAUACAUAUUCCUAAGAUAAACAGUUUUUACUUAUAUCCGAACCAAAUGCAGCCAAAGAGCUCGAAUAUAAUAAUAUAUAUUAUGUAUUUCAAUUAUAUUUAUAGAGUUUUGGUUACUGGGUGUAUUUGCUUGCCCACAAAACCAAACCAACAAAACCCUAAUUUAAUUCUCUCUCUCUCCCUCUCUUUCACUUGCUCACAUAAUUGCUUCCCUUAAAUUAUUUUUCUUAAUAUUAUAAUAUCGCAUUCAUGCAUUUAUUUUGUAUGUUGAACUAUUAGAUAUAUUUUUAUAUUAAAUUUAAAUAAUAUUUUUUAAAAAUCAAGCUAUAAAUUGCAUGAUGUUAAAAAUUUCAAACCGCUCAUCUAAGGCUCAAGUUCGAUUGACUCGAAAUUAGACUCGCUCUAGCUCAACUCAAAUUAAUUUCAAGCCGAGUUUGAGCCAAAAUUUAGGUUCAAAAUUAAUUCAAGCCAAUCUUUAGCUGAACUAAGUUCGCUCAAGCUUGGCUCGUUAAUUUCCAACACUAUGCCUGGCUCCGCAUGAAAUUGACAUAGCAAUAUAUUUUUUGGACGCUCCUCCACUGAGGAACUGUAUACUUAUAUGUAAUUACAAUUUUACUGUAGUUAUAAUUAUAUAUAAAUCUUAAUUUAAUAUUUAAGUAAAUAUAUUUAAAAUUAACUGCUAUAGUCAAAAUUGUAUUAAUAUAUUCAAUUACAAUAUAGAGUUGAGACUAUAUUCAAGUUGACCGUAAUUUCAACUGCAGUAGUUGAAAAAGAUAAUUAUAAAAAAUAGCUAAUCUUACCAUACAAAUAACUUUUUAAAUAUAAAAUAUUAUUCUUUUAAUCUUACAAUUACAUAUAUAAAGUGAUAAAAUUUUGGUGGUAAUCUCAUUAUUAUACAUAUAAUAAAGUAAAAAAAUUUUGAAAUAUACUUCUCCACAGUAUCCAACCAAAUAAAUCGAAAAAAAAAUUUAAUCGAAAAAAAACAGUAUCCAACCAAAUAAAUUAUUUGUAAUUGCAACACUUUUUACUACAAUCAACCAAACAAAAUGCAUAUUAUUAUAACUGUUAUAUUUUCAACUAUAUAUAUAAAUCUCCAACUACAUUAUAUUUUUAAUUUCAUUCAACCAAACUGCCCCUAAAGGUCAGAAUCCUUACACUUCACUUAUAUAUAGGCCACCACUUUCCCACUGGUCUUAUUAAUUUUUUGAGUAAAUUUUAACUUAUCUCAUUAUGGUUUAGUGUAGUUUUACUUUGCCAAUAUAUAGUUCAAAAGUUUUUUUUUUUUUUUUAAGAGAACGGUAGUAUGCUACCCACUUUGUUUAUUCUUUCUAGAAAUAAACUUAGCUGGAAAUGUGAAUCAACUAGAAUUAGUUUGAUCUUGGAACCUCGGGUACCAAUCAUCAAACCCUUUGCCACUUACACUAGGAAUGGUCAGUUAUAUAAUUUAAAAGUUAUACUUGACUAUUCUUAAUGUGUUCGGAAGCACCAAGGGUCAAAAUUUUAGAUUCAAGUCGAUGAAAGGGUCAAAAAGUUGAAGCACCAAUGGCUCGUGUUCGGCCGCAGCUUGUGACGAGAUUGCAAUGCCCAACUCGAGAUCGGCUCGUAAUAUUAUAUUCGGGCUACCUUAUAUUUGGUUUAUUAAAGAAUCGCGCCGACCACAAGCUAUAGCUAGUUCUGGUUCACUCGUGUUCAACUUAUUGGCAGCUCUACCUACACGGUAAGAAACUUUACCAUGAUCCGUUUGCAUUGUACAACUAUGUUUUCUACUUCGUUGACUUUUCACCUCAUGUUUUUCGUUGACUUUUCACCUUAUUUACUUGGCUGCUAAGUAUGCCAAUAGUUAUUAGCUAGAUUGAUUCAGUUAAAGCCUACGAAUCUUAAAUUCAGCUACCAACCUAAUUAAUUCUUCAUAAUAAAGAAUUCAUAGCUGUCUUAUAUAGAGAAAGUAAGUACUCCUAGCGUACCACAUCAUUGGCAUGCAAAUGUAGAGUUCAAUGUUGAAGACUACUAUAAUUAGUCUCAUAACUGUGCAGAAUAGUGCUUGUCGACAAAUAUUUUACAGAUGAAAAUUUUUGACUUUUUUCAUUUAGGACAUGGAAAGGGGCUUCUGAACUCAAAAAACUACUAGAAAAAAAUAUGUUUAAGAAGUUUGAUAAAAACGACAUGUUAGUAUUGUUGGUAUAUAAGUUAUCCAGUACUGUCCUACAUAUGUAAUGGAGUCUGCGUUGCGCCAAGCCAUAAUCGAGAUCUAUGGACAUCUGUGUCUGUAUAUUUUAAAUGAAUUACUUAUAUCUCAAGCUUUUGGAAUAUUAGUUAAUGCCAACAACCCACCACUAGCACUCAGGAAAAGUAUUCUGAUCAUAUAUCUAAGGGCCGUAAUCUUCAAUGGUAAAAUUUAAAGGAAAAAAAAGAGGUUCUCUUCUAGUUACUUAAAUAUAUACCAUUUAAUAAAUGCACCUGUGCAAUAAGAUCACUAAGUUGUGCAUAAAGUAAUUAAGCUUAAUAAUUCAACAAUGCAAAUGAAACAUGAGGAUCGAUAUCCACAUUUAGACAUACUUUGGGUGGCACAGCGGCCCAGCUAGUUGAGUGGUUAUUCCAAAUCAGCCCUUUGUUUUGUUAAAAUCACUAGUUGAGAAGCUGUUGAACUACUUAAGGUUUGUUCAUAAUUAUUUGGAGGCAAACAUAUAUAUAAGAGAGAAAAAGAAAAUACGCUUGAAUAAAGUAUGAUGAAUUAGGUUUCUUGACGAGAAAAAAGUACUCUAGGGGCCUAAGAAAAUAAUAUUGAAAUAUCAAAAAGCAUUACUAGUGGUUACAGAAUCUGGAAAGCAAUGAAGCAAGCCUUUUCUCUUUUUAUUAUCUUAAGAUGCUAAGAGAAAAGUUUCUAGGGUGUAUCUUAUUGAAAUAAAAGGAUAAGCAUGCAUGUACUAGCAUUCCUAUAAACUUAGGAUAAGUGUAUGUCUGUAUUCCCACACAGCUAUGAAUUUGAUUGUCAAAGAUUGAGAACUACUUAACAGCUUUUUGUUAAAAUGACCUUCUUCAGUUGCAGCUAUUAAAAAAAAGAAUUCCAUACCGAUAACAUAAACCACAAAUGAUCAGUCAUUAGUUAUAUAUUUGCCACUUACAUACAAAUCACAUCAACAUCAUAGUGUGCUAUUUCUUGGUCUCAAAAAAUUUGAAUUAAAGCUCUAUAGCUGUUAAGCAAUUAAUAAAAUAAAUCUUCUCAUUCUUAGAGAGAAUUAUAACCAGCAACUUUCGAUAUACCUAGCUCUUAAGUAAAAUGAUCCUUGAAAAUUGUAAAAGGAAGACUGGGCUUUGGUUAUCAACCGCAUAGAAGCGAAAAUCAACGGAUGGAAAGCCAAACUCCUCUCACAAGGGGGAAGACUGACCCUUGUCAACUCGGUCCUGACCAGUCUGCCACUUUUCUACCUCUCCAUCUUCAAAGCGCGCUAAUGGGUUCUGCAUCGUAUUGAAGCCCUGAGAAGAGCCUUCUUCUGGAAAGGAUGCUCCAAAGUUUUUGGAGGAGCGUGCCUAGUCAGCUAGAAAACCGUAUGCAAAAGCAAGGAAGAAGGCGGGUUGGGAAUCAAAAACAUGGAGUCCAUGAAUCUGGCUCUCUUAACCAAAUGGUGGUGGCGAUUUUUUAAUGAGCCACACCUACUUUGGUACAAGCUGAUAAGAUCUCUCUAUCACACCAGACGCUGGCCGUUGCAUGAGGGCACAACCUUCAUACCGUACUCUCAGUGGUGGAAAGCGUGCUCCGGUGCCCAGAAAUAUGAACUUGGAGACGGUAACAACAUCAGGAUAUGGCCAGACAUCUGGAUCGGAGAAACCCCCCUGCGCACCAUGUUCCCAGACAUUUAUGCCAAUAUAAGGAAUAAGGAGGUCAGAGUCUCACAAUGUUGGAACUCUAACGGAUGGAGAUGGUGCUUCAUCUAUAGAGGGUUUGUGGCGUAUCAAUCCAUCAACAACGUUAGACAAUAUGCACUAUUCAAAGACCUACUCCUUCAUUAUAGCCCCAGGACCAGCCUGGACCUACUCAAAUGGCGGUGGACCCCCAACCAUCUGUUCGCGGUCAAAUCCCUCUACAGGUUCAUCGACAACGUAGGACUAAGGGACACGGAGAACCAACAUAUUUGGAAUUUAAAAAUCCCGGUUAAAAUCAAAGUCUUCAUCUGGGUGUUAAUCCGUAAGAAACUACUCACUGCUGACAGACUGCUCACCCGUGGGAUGCCGGUCGAUGAUCACUGUGUAUUCUGUGUGUUUGCUACGGAGAGCUGCGACCAUCUAUUCAACAACUGUGUCUUCGCUCGCUUCCUACUCAUCUGGGCGAAUGUACCCGUUGGGGAUUCGAGCGGUGUUCGGGCCCUCUGGAAUAAUAUAUCUGCUAUCACCGACUCAGCGAAAAGAUCGGAAGCUCAAACCUCUCUGGCGGCAAUUUGGUGGGUUGUGUGGACGGAAAGAAACAACUUUAUUUUCCGCUCGAAAAUCCCCAACGCCAUCCGAGCUCUUGAGUGCACCAAACUCCUGACAAAAUCCUAGAUCGAACUACCCUAUCCGCACCGGCAACUCCUCCACCUUCUAUUAAUUUUCUCGCUAUAUUACCAUGUCCUUUAUUUCACUCCCUUCCCUCAACUCCCUUCUAUUAUGUUUUUUCUGUUUGGCUCACUUCGGAGGCCCUAGCUGCUUCCACACUGUACGCUUAGUUUAUUUAGCUUAAUGAAUAUUGAAGCAGGUAGCUUGGCUACCUCUUUCUCAAAAACAAAAAAAAAGAGAGAAAGAGAAAGAAAAUUGUAAAUAUACUACAUCUAUAUAUCAUAAAUGCUAGUUCCGAUCGAAGUACAUGCUUCAUCUAUGUCCCAGCUUUUCUCGCGAUCAAGAUAAUUAUGACAAGCUUGCUGUUCACGGUAACUUUUUUUUAAUUGUAAUAUAUAUAUAUAUAUAUAUAUUUGUUGUAAUCCCGUCGUACUAUAUUUGCUUGAUAUACUUUAAUUAUUUGAAAGAUGAAAUGAAUCAGAUUAUUGCCCAUGAAUCUAUUUGUAGUAAUAGUUUUUUGAUCUGUUAAUUUGAAAUUUACUUGUCAACGGCUUCAAAAACCAAAUGCUUUUUUCAGUUUCAAUUUUCUCCUCUCAACCUUCCUACUGAAACUGUAAAAAAAAAAAAUGGUACAACUUUUUCUCAGUGGACAUAUAGUUCUUAAGACUAGUUAAUUCAUUCUCAAAAACUGUAUUCAUUGGAUUGUGACAUUCUAAAUAAGACACCUCUUUAAAUUCUUUGUUGUAUAAAUUUUGAUAAAGUUAAAUUUCUUUAUUUUUUAAUUUUUUACUGCAUUUAUACCAUCAAAAUAUAUUAGUAUUUAAUUACAGUAAACACUUUAUCUGUAGAAUAGAAUAACACCAAUAUUUUAAAAAAAAAAUGUCCAAUUUUGCUUGUACGACUCUUUCGUCGGCUGGCUAGUGGCUUUUCACACAAAAAAAGGCAGCAUUUUGAUUUUAAAAAAACAAGCCAUCGAGUGUUAUGAUCAUAGUAUCUGGUUAUCCCAAAUUAUACCCGCUUUUUUAAUAUUUUAAUGCACAUUAGCCUUUAGACCAUAUAAUCAAAUUAAUGAGAGGGUUUAACCAUGCACCUAUUGUUGAAUUAAGGAUUUAGAUAAUUAGAUAUGGUCAAAUUUUAAAAAACCUUCAAAAAUGAUGGCCAAAUGAAAAUUCAAGGGUACAACAAUUUUCCUAGAAAUUAACUCAUAUUUUUAGUGAAUGUGUAUAACUUCCAAAUCGAACUGUACAAAUUAACAGAGUUGGUGGCUGCUUAAUUUAUGUAAUCCUAAAUAUGGAGAACUCUCAACUGCUUAUGUCAACCGAUCGAUCAACUUGUUGGUAACUGUAGUUUUGCAGCAGUUUGUAAAUCCAAAUCUAAAUUUAACUUGUUAAUUAGCUAGCCCAAUCUAAUAAUUAACUUAAUUUUUUCUUUAUUCUCUAGCAGUCACCCUUCUUAAAACAUACCUUAUAUUAACGGAUUAUGGCCAUUAAAACAAAUUACACUAUUUGUUUUCAUCACUUUAAAAGUAGUCAAAACAGAUUAUGCUUUUUUUUUUUUUUUUUUUUUUUUUUUUAAAGAAUAACUAUAUGUCACGCCCCGGCCUUUUUGGAAAGUUAAUUUUUGAGAAAUUUAUCCAGUUUGAAAUCAGAGUUGUAAAAAAGCGUAUAAAAUUUUUUUUUUUAUAAAAAACUUGCCCGAGAGGUGCACAGAACCCCCCUACGUGCAGGGCAUUCUCUGUUCAUACGGACAAAGUUUUUCCUAUACAUGUACGGCAUAGAAGCAUAGAUACAGAACCACAAUCAAUCAAAACAAGAUAAUUUAAUUAUACAACUACGUACUAAUCAAUCUAAUACCAAAAUUCAAAAACGACUAAACCACUACAUAGGAAAACCCAAAAGCAACUAAACUCCAAACACAAAUGAUAUCACAUAACUACAACCAGAUCAUAAGGUACUGAAGUAAGGAAAAUCUAAAACUAUAAAUUAAGAUUCAUGGCACGAGCUCUCUAGGCGCUAACUAACCGUGUCCUUCCACCACACCCCGAUCCGCGCAUCAACAACACCUGUAAAAACAAUGAGGUGAGAAACAUAUAAAUAUAUUUUCCGGUGGGGGCAACCAGCCAACGAGGGCAAGCUGCACUCAUUGGCAAACAAAGGAGUACGGUAAACAAGUAAGAGCGAAAAUGUAAUAGUCAACUACAAUAGCAUCACAGAUAGAUAGAUAACUGUCAUGAUCUAGAAUACAAAAUAAUGCCGCUACCGUACUAGGAAUAGAAAUACUAACCACAAAGUGUCGACCAUAGUAGCAAAGAAAACCAGCGAAUAGUCAUCAUGAACAAUCAUAUAAGAGAUACCGCUACUGUAAACUAGUCAUAUGCUAACAUAAAGGAGCACCAACUACAAUAGCAAGAUGAAAAAUACAAAACAUCAUAACCCACUCACAAUGGAUGCCGCUAUUGUAGGCUAAACAACUACUAGAUACCAUGCAUGACUCAAAUCGAAAUACUAUGCAUCACCUGGACGUGUGAGAAGUCCAAGAUAUACGCAAUCGCUGUGGCCGCUCAUAAAGACCCAGCCUAAGCUCGCCACUAGUCUCAAGGACCAUAAAUCAAGUACCACUCCGGAGGGACACAUCAACCCGCAUCCAAAGUCGCUAAUUUUGUCUAAGCGCGAUGUAUAUCAAGUCUAGGGGGUGAGAACUCAAGGUGGCGAACCCUGUCUAUGAAACAUCACCUCUAAAUGGGCUGGCAACUGAAGUACCCUGGGUUAGGAACCCUGUCUAAGACUCCUUCAGUGCCAUACAAGCUAUAGUCAUAUGUAUAUACUCAAAGCUCCAAUAACCUAGACUCAACAGUCAAAUCACUGCCCGUAGGCGACAGCAAGAGUCAAGAGGUAAUCACACUGGAUGCCAAUGGAAAUACCAAGAUCGAAACUCCCCGGGUCGACUAACAUGCUACACUAAAUGAGUAUGCAAGAAAGAUAAAGAUAAUGCAAGUGACAGAGGUGAACAUGCUAAAGAUCCAAUCAUGACAGAAUACGUCAUCUGACCCUUAAGUCAAAAUCUGAGGAAGUAUACACCGAUCGACUAGGUCAAUCUCAUGGAGUAACUCGCUGACAAUAAGGUCAAGUCUCACCGAAAAUAAGUCAACUGAUGAUCAUAUCUCAACAAGAAGUACACAUCGAUAUACCAGAUCCAAUCGUACACAGGUGGAUAUUCUAUCAAAUCAUUACCUACUCUACAUGUCACACACGAGAUAGAAGAGAGUGCAAUCAAGAGUCUACGAAUCCAUACGAUAAUCAACGUAACAAUCAACAGGCAUGUAGAGUAAAAAGCAUGUAUAGACGUGAAGUCAGGGAAAGUUGUCCUACUCAAACAACAUAUAGAAUAGAUCAAGCAGAAAGAAAAAUCGGGUAAAAUACAACUUUACCGACUUCGGAAUAGAGCACCCACCUCACCUAAUAUCCGAGUCCUCGACUCGAACGAUGGUUCCAGAAGUAACCUAUACCUAACAAAUACCAACAAGCCAUCAUUAAACAUCUAAUAUUACCAAACAUCGUUGUCCAAUGUUCUUUAUGCAGUGAAAGAAAACAUCAAAAAGCCCUAUGAUGUCCUACGAAAUCGGUUUCCUAUAAAAGCCGAUCUCCGUAACUCGCCGGAAGCCUGGAAAUCACACCGGGACCAACAAACUGUCCCAAAAAGCACCAAUUCGCCACGAGUCACCCAUUGGCUCAAAACACAUCAUUCAGGGUGUCCUGGCAGCAAACACCAUUUCUCAUGUCGAGACGAUUAUCGUCGAGUAAUCGCUCCGAUCCGGGUUCCCAAAUGCAUCCAAUUUGACAUCGGAACCUUCUACCGCUCACCCUUCAUCUCUAGACACACAAGAGGACCAUGGCGGCCAGUCAAUGACGCUAGGUGAUGAUUUUCGAGGCAACCACGCAGCCAAAAAUUCAUCUCAAUGCGAAAUCGUGUUCCACCGACGAUUUCGCCGAAAAAUGCACCGAAAAUCUAUUUUUGAUCCCAUGAAGGCUUCAAAACCUGGACAACAAGUCCAGAAGGUCACAAUCAGUGACCACACGCUGCCCGAGGCAACCCACAUUGCCUUAAUUACAAGAUGGCCCCUAAGAGACCGGAUAAUUGCAACAUUAAGUACAAUGAGGCAAUGUUCAGGGCCGUUAUCAAAAUCUGCGCACCUCCGGGAUGAAGCGAGGGCAUCAGCUGAUAGGUCUCGAUGUGCUAGACAUCAUACUCGCUAUCUGGAGCAUGCACAACAACUGAAGAGCGCUAUGGAGCUUUUCCAAGUUUGGCAACCAAAUGGCUCCGGGAGUCAUGGGCCAAAAAUCAACGAAGAAAGGUCAUCGGAGGUGGGCACAACGUUCAGCAGAUUGAGGGGAUCGCCGUGCUCACCUUCAAGUUAGUCGAGGAGCUUCGGAUCGCCAGAAGCUGCGAACGGGGCAAAACCCUGCCAUAUGCUGUUAAACAUGGGGCAUAGGGGCUCCGACCGACUGUCGAUGGCCUGCAGGCGGGUGCAACGGCUGGGGUUGGCCGCGAAGGGAGAGGGAAACCCUGUGCUCCCCUCGGCCGGCGGCAAGAAGCGACUGUGGUAGCGACAACGACGACGCUUGGGGAGUUGCCUACUCACAUAAAUAUUUCUCGGGUUCAGGUAGCUAGCCGAGCAAAGAGGAGACCAGGGGCAACGACGACCGACCGAUAGGGGGUCUUUGGAUCGUACUGAGGCCAGCGGCGGCGGCGGGGAGCAAUGGUGUGCCGGAUCCGGAGCCACAACCCGAAACCUCCACAAUUGGGUCCAAGCCUUCGAAACCUCCACAAUUGGGUCCAAACCUUGGAUCUUGGUAAAUGGAGGCCUCGGCGGUGCCCGGGCCAUUGGAGGGUGGUCGCUGGACCUCCCAGAGAUCGGCAGCGAGGCUCCGGGGCAGCGCGGCCAAGUGCUAAGAUGGCUCGGGCCCGAUUGCAGCUUAGAGAGAGAAAGAGAGAGAGAGAGAGAGAGGGGACCUCGCCGGCCGGAGCUUCGCCGACGCCAGUGAAGUACAGAGGGUGGCAGUGAUUGUGAGCAGGGAGAGGGAGAGGAGAUUAGGGUUAAUAUAAUAUAUGUAUAUAUUAUUAUGGGGCAAUUGCUUAUAUACCCCUAAAAAGUUUCCGACUUUCUGAUUUACCCCUCUUAGAAGGCUAAUAUUGAAAAUACCCUUUUUACAUUCCAACCUAUGUCAAAUAUACCCUUCCUCCGUUUGGUUCGGGGCUAAGGAAAAAGUAGCUAUUCCAGGGAUAGAGUUAAGUUCAGGGUUAAAGUGGGGUUAAAUUUUUUUUGUGUUUGGUUGGGGGUUGGAGUUAGUCUAGAAUAAUAAAAAAUAGUGUUUGGUUGGAGUAGGUGGGAUAAGAAGAUAAUAAUUGAUAAAGAGGAUAAUGAUUGGUUGGAGUAGGUGUGAUAAGAAAGAUAGUAGGUUAUUAUGAAUAGAAAAAAGUGUUUGGUUGGAGUUUGGUGGGGUUAGGUGGGGUUAGCUAACCCGGGAUAAUUUAUUUGAGGUGGGGUUAAGUGGGGUUAGCUAACCCCACCUAUUUUUUGGGGUUUUUGGGGAUAAAAUGGGGGUUAAGGGGUUAUUCCACCUCUUAACCCCCAACCAAACAAGGGCUUAGAGUUAAAUUUUGUUAAUAAACUCUGUUAUCUAUAUAAAAUUACUAUUUUGCUCUUUCAAAUAUACCCUUCCACCAUCACCGACUUUUCUUAUUUGCCCUUAAGUCAGGGGCAUAAAAAGUAUUUUAACUUUUGAUCUUUUCAAAUAUUCCCCUCUACUGUCACCAAUAUUUCUUAUUUGCCCUUAAGUUAAGGGCAAAAUUAGCAUUUUAAUUUUCUUUAACUGUGGUAGAUAUUUAGCUCACGUUUAACUCAAGUUAACUUAACAGGUGAUAACUGUAGGGGUAUUUUGGAAUAACAGAGGAACACAUGAGGGGUAUAUUGGAAAGAGAAAAAAAAGUAGGGGUAAUUGAGAUAUUUUCAAAGUUUUGAGGGGUAUAUAGACAAUUAUCCCUAUUAUUAUAUAUACAUACAUGUACAUAUAUAUAUAUAUAUGUGUAUAUAUAUAUAUAUGUGUAUAUAUAUAUAUAUGUGUAUAUAUAUAUAUGUGUAUAUAUAUAUAUGUGUAUAUAUAUAUAUAUAUAUAUAUGUAUANNNNNNNNNNNNNNNNNNNNNNNNNNNNNNNNNNNNNNNNNNNNNNNNNNNNNNNNNNNNNNNNNNNNNNNNNNNNNNNNNNNNNNNNNNNNNNNNNNNNNNNNNNNNNNNNNNNNNNNNNNNNNNNNNNNNNNNNNNNNNNNNNNNNNNNNNNNNNNNNNNNNNNNNNNNNNNNNNNNNNNNNNNNNNNNNNNNNNNNNNNNNNNNNNNNNNNNNNNNNNNNNNNNNNNNNNNNNNNNNNNNNNNNNNNNNNNNNNNNNNNNNNNNNNNNNNNNNNNNNNNNNNNNNNNNNNNNNNNNNNNNNNNNNNNNNNNNNNNNNNNNNNNNNNNNNNNNNNNNNNNNNNNNNNNNNNNNNNNNNNNNNNNNNNNNNNNNNNNNNNNNNNNNNNNNNNNNNNNNNNNNNNNNNNNNNNNNNNNNNNNNNNNNNNNNNNNNNNNNNNNNNNNNNNNNNNNNNNNAUGUAUAUACAUAUAUCUCUCCUAAUUGCACAAUUGCAAUAGGACUGACUCCUCUACAAACAUCUAUGGGUGAAUUUUGGGUUUUAAAUUGUGAAUAUGAGGGACUAAAUUGUAAUUUUUAUAAUUUGUGAAAAAGGGUACUGUGUGCGAUGGUGUUAUUAUUUCAUGUGAGAAAUUUUAGAAUUUUUAGGAGUGGAAGGACUCAUGUGAAACUAGACUCAGAGUAGAACAUGUGGGUUAAAUCUCAUGAAAUUCUGAGAAUUCUAUGAAUCACAACACCAAUUUGAGUUUAGAGAGAGGAAAUCGAUCAGGGGAUACCAAACAAGGCCAACUUUAAUUUAUCUUGUCUAAUAGUAUUAAAUGACCCUUAAUACCAAACAAGCCCAAAGUUACAAAAAGAGUAAAAUACUUGAUUGUUAUAUAUAUACUAAUUAACAUUUAGUAAACUGUAGGCUAAUAACUGUGAGCUUGGUUUGAAAGUGUACGAACUAAUUUAGUAUCUAACCAACAUUAAUUUAAGGAUUUAAUAUGUAAUUAAUUCCAGAAAAGAACAACAAACUUACCCCUUCACUUUCUUAAUUACUUUUUCUCACUCAUACUCUUAAAAGAACAAAAAGAAGGAUUGCACAAUCAGAAAGAUAAGCAAAGCCAAGGACCCAUGAAAGGAGCUGACCAAUCUACUUUGGGGUGUAUGAAAGUAAAGAUAGAAUACUCCAUCAUAUCCCUUUGUACUCAAGCAAUUAAGUUUUAAUGCAUAAAUUCAAAAAAAGUUUAAAAACCCAAAACCCAAUAAUUCGAUAAAAGAAAAGAAAAGAAAAGAAAAGAAAAAAUAUCCUUUAAUAAACCAGAAAAGUUAAAAUUACUCCAUCCACCUCUUCACUUUUCCUAAGGUCAGAUGCUCAGCAAGUCUAACCUGUUUUCUAUUAUACCAAACCGCCACACACCACCUCCCAAGGGUGGGUUUCAUAUAUAUUCGUCUUCUUCUUCUUUCCCAAUCCUUGCUCUUUUUCCAUCACACCAAAUUCCCCCACACAAGAGAACAACAAGCCAAGAGAAGAGAAGAUUCUAAACAGGAGAAGAGAGAAGUAGAUUUUUACUACCACAGGAGAGAGAGAGAGAGAGAGAGAGAGAGAGAGAGAGAGAGAGAGAGAGAGGAUUAUGGCUGAUGAUCUCCAUACAGCAGGGAUAUGCAGUGGAAGAGGGAGCUGGUGGAUGAACUCAGCGAGGAGCAGCGCCGGACUCGAUGGUCAGAUUGCGAUCUCCUCGACGUCGAUAGCCGACAUCGAUGCAAGAGGGUCGACCUUCAGUUGGUCGGCGGGCGAGAGCAAGUCGCGGUCCUGCGAAGAGUCCACUGGCUCGGCCUCUGCCGGAAGCUCAAUAACCUUCCAAGACACCCACUUAAAUCCCUCCAUGAACUGGAAUGAAACCCUACUGUAAGUGAUCUUCUUUCUUUGUAUAUAUGCGUUUAGAGAGAUAUAUACAUAUACAUAUAUAUAGAGAGAGAGAUAUAUAGGGUUUUUCUUUUUUUUUCCUUUGAGAAAAUUAUCUAUAUAUUUUGAUUGAUGGGUUCGGCAGAUUCCUACUUCACCUUUACUGAAAAUAACAGGUAAGGUGUAUGCGAAAUUUAACAAAAAGAUUUAAGUGUAAGAUUCAAUUUUGUAGAAUUGCACUUGCCAAAUCUACAUGAUAUGUUGCAUGCUUAACAUAUAUAUAUGAACUCUUAUUUCCGUGAAUUUUAUAUAUGAUGGAGAAGCAGCGGCGGAAAAGCUGAUACAAGAAUUCAAGCCAUGCACCAAGAUGAUCUAAGCAAAAGGCCCUAUUGGCAUGACGGACUGUUGAUAGACUCGUAUCGAGCUCACGUUGGUGUCGAAGAAUCCUCCACAAAUUUAUUCAAGGAGAUUAACCAUGGAAAAAAUUUCCUCCUGGACAAACAUCUGUUGAAUUCAAGUAACGAAGCUUCCGCUUCCUUUGGAAGCCCUUCUAGAUUGCUCCAAACCUUUAUCACUAGCGAGGCGAAUCCUCCACUUUCGAUUUAUGGAAACCCAUAUCUACAUCAUCAGAGUUCGACGGCUACGGCUUCUCAUGAGAGCUUAAGUGAGCUUUUGCAGCCCUCAUGGACAAAAUUCUCUCAGUUGGUUAAGCCUUCACCAUUAAAGAAUCAGUUGCAGUUCUCCAAUAGCACUCCCUUUUGGAACCCUUCUUCUACUGCUAUGAAUGAAGUGAGUUCAGGGUUUUACCCCUCCGUGCCUUCGCAGUUCAUCUCACAGCAGAAACCAAGUUACAGCAAUCUCAUAGUGAAGGAGAAAUCUUUGGUACCGUAUUCUUUCUUUUUUUUUUUCAUGAUUUUUAGGGUUUUACUUGUGUUCAACUCAAUUUAGUGAUGCAACUCAGCAACUCACAAUCAUGUAUGUAGUUAAAUUCGGAACAAGUUCAAGACUCAUGCUCAUCUGCAAAAAAGAAAAGCAGCAGUGGUGAUGAUCAUCAACCCACGUUUAAAAAGCCUCGAAUCGAGACCCCGUCGCCAUUACCGACCUUUAAAGUACGACACUAUCUGCUUGAGAUCUUUAUAAUCUAUAGCAGUUUGAUAUCUCACUUUCUUCUUUGCUUCUUUCUGUUUAAGCUUUCAUGAUAGCUUUUUUGAGCUCAUUGUUUGGAUAUGUAGGUGAGGAAAGAGAAAUUAGGGGACAGAAUCACUGCGCUCCAACAGCUGGUUUCUCCUUUUGGAAAGGUAUCUCAUAUAUCCUUUAAAUGAUCACUCUCACUCUCUCUCUCUCUCUCUCUCUCUCUCUCUCUCUCUCUCUAUAUAUAUAUAUAUAUAAGAGAUAAUUUGUUGGCUUAUGUUCUAGAUCCUUUUGUGUUUGCAAUUAAAUGUUUAUUAAGCUUCCAAUAUGUAUAGAACUGAAUCUUUCCUUCCAACUUUAUUAUUUCAGACUGAUACAGCAUCAGUUCUUCAUGAAGCCUUUGAGUAUAUUAAGUUCCUUCAUGAACAAGUGAGUGUAAGUAUCUCUACUAGUUUUAUAUAUAUAUAUAUAUAUAUAUAUAUAGAAAAAAUAGCCAAUAUCGAAUUGUAUUUAAUAAUAUCUGUUUCUUAACUGCAGGUUUUGAGCACACCAUAUAUGAAAAAUGAGGAUCUCACGCAGCACCAGCAGGUACAAAGCUCUUCAACCUGCACUCACUUAACUACUUACUAAUAUAAAUGUUAGUUUCAUACACAAUGAAGAACUUGGCUAUAAAAGUUAAUGUUUUAGGGUUUGGAGAGGUUGAACGAUGGCGAGGGACCGAAACAAGACCUUAGAAGCCGAGGUUUGUGUUUGGUUCCGAUUACGAGCACUUAUCCGGUCGCUACCGAGACUGUCGCAGAAUUCUGGCACCCUACCUUUGGAGGAAGCUUCAGGUAGUGGGGUAAGGGCUCUGAGGAAAAAGAUUGGAUUACAACUUUUUUAUUAUAAAGAAGCAAAAUUCAAUGGUUGUUGUUAAAGAAGUGGGAGAUCAAUCAAGAGUGACAGAAAAUGCAUAUAUUGUUUGUAAAAUUAUAGUUAUUUGCAGGGAGAAAAGCAAAACCCUAACAUAGGAAAGAUAAGGAAAUGAGGUGGCCCUUCAAAGACAGGAAUUGUUGGGACAGCUAUAUACAAGGAGAAUGUUGUGAGGUAGGUCAUGGUGUAUAGAGCUUUAGAAAGAAUGUUCAAUAUAUAAUUAAUGUUGUUGUAUUUUAUUGAUUAAGAGGUGGGUCAAAGAAUUAAUGGGAACAGUUGCUGAAUUUGGUAAAGCAAAUAGUAGGGAUUAGCUCUAAAUAUAUUUAUAAAUGUCAGAUAUAUAGAGGUCUAGACAUAGCAAUGAUAUGAUAUUUCAAACUAUGCUAGAAAAAUUUUACAACCAAAUUCAAUGAUCUUUUUGAAUUUUCGGACCUAAUUUAGAUGUAAACAAAGUGUAGUAGUAAAACUAAUACAAAUAUUUAAGUAUGGAAGAAAUAAUUAAAAAAAUAGGACAAAUUAUUAGAGAUUAGUUUUGGAGGUGGGGGCUAGAGUUAGCAGCUAAAUUUAGCAGGAGAGAAAUGAUCAUCUGUCUUUUGUUGGAUGUGUGUACUUUAGUUUAAUUAAGGGGCUUUUUUUGCAAAUAGCCCCCUUACAAAUUUUUUUUUUAAAAUUGGCCCUGUCAAAAAUUUAUUUGCAAAAAUGGCCCUGGCUCCGCCACGCAAGCGCCACGUCAGCGCCACGCGGGCGGGGCUGGGCCAGAUGGUUAAGUUGAACAUGGUGAACCAUUCACCGUGUUCAAUACAAAGUUUUUGUAUUGGACACGGUUAAUAAUUCACCGUGUCCAAUACAAAAUAGCAAGACCGAAAUAUUUGUAUUGGACACGGUGAACCAUUCACCGUGUCCAAUACAAAUAAUUGGACACGGUGAAUGGUUCACCGUGUCUAAUACAAAUACCUCCAACUUAGCCAUUGUUGGGGUAUUUGUAUUGGACACGGUGAACCAUUCACCGUGUCGAAUACAAAAAUCUUGUAUUGAACACGGUGAAUGGUUCACUGUGUUCAACUUAAACAUCUGGGCCCGCCCUGCCCGCGUGGCGCUGACGUGGCACUGACGUGGCAGGGGCAGGGCCAUUUUUACAAAUAAUUUUUGGACGAGACUAUUUUUACAAAUAAAAUUUGUCAGGGGGCUAUUUGCAAAAAAAAGCCUUUAAUUAAGGGCCGGCACCUUUUCUUUUUCUUUUUCUUCUCCCAAAAAAAAAAUAAUAAGGAAUAAUUGGACUUGGACAUUUUUGGUUUGGAGUAUCUUACUUUUUGAUUUAUUUAAUGUUUUCAUAUGAUGAUAGUGGAAGUCAGAGGUGACCAACUUUAAAGGCGCUCCCCCUUUCUCUCUCUUCAAGUAGCACAUUAAUUGGUUUCUUUUUAAGUUGUGUUUCAAAUAAACUUCAAACAAUUAAUUCCGAAGUAUAUUAAAGAGUUGAAUGAAAAAGAAGUGUCAAUCCCCAAAAUCAUGAUUGCAGGACAUCAAUUAACAUUUAUUUGUUCCCCACUUUUGUUUAUGUUUGUUGCAGAAAUUCCUAUAAUCUAGAUUUAGGUGUAGGGACCUCUGGAAUAAUUAGGAAAGAAAUUAUUGCAAUAAUUAGUUAAAUAGGGUAACAUUACAAUAGAAUUAGGUUAUAGGGACACAUGUAGGGAUGUAAAACGGGCCGGGCGGCCCACGUGCCGCCCGGCCCGGCACGGCCUCGGGCCGGGCCACAGCACGGCACGGGUACUGUAGCANCCGAUGUGGCCCGAAAAAUGUGGGCCGUGCCAGCCCGGCACGGCCCACAUUACACCCCUAGACACAUGUUUGGGACACUUUUAAGUAAGUGUCCCAUUUAUGCUAAAACUUAAAAAAAUAUCUACUAAUGCCUAAAUAUAAAGCCCAAUUCAACCAAAAUAAAAGAUUACUCUACUCAACCCACCACACCCAGUCCAUUUGGCCCGAUUACAAAUAGAAAAGAAAAAAAAAAAAGAAAAAUCAAUUACCAUCUUUUCUUCUCUCUUCACUCAAUCCACUGAAAUUCUAGACGAAGAGCCUUUCCUGUCGUCCUCCUCCGCCACCGCAGCCAACGAGAUAGAGUUUCGACGGUUGCUAAAUGCUUAAAUAAGUGUUGGUAAUUAGCAGCACUCUUUUAGAUUAUAGCGACACUCUUUAACUGUCACUAUAUACCUAGCGACCCCACAUAUAGCAACACUUUUUAAAAGUGUUAGUAAUUUUAGCUAGCAGCACUUUUUUGACAUGUACCUACAUUUAAAAGUGUCGCUAUAGAUCGUUUUUGUUGUAGUGUAAAUUGCAAUAGUCAACAAACUUUCGGCCAAUUUUCAUUUCCAUUUCCAAAAUUUUAAUUUCGACAUUUAAAUCUCUAAACAUUUAAUAAAGAUAUUUUAUUUUACUUUCUAAACUUACUAAUGUUUUAUUUUAAUCCUUAUCUUGAAGUAAAGGUGUUGCCUGCAUAUUGUUCAAACAUCAUACGUACUACUCGAUACUUUUUAUCUGUUUUUUUCAUCUGAUCUCAUUCUUUCGCUAGUUCAACAGUUCAAUUCCUAUAUUGGUAGAAAAAAAAAAAUUAUAACUCAACGAGUGAUGAAAUAAGCGAGAGACAAAGAUUUGAUAAUGCAUGAAACAUAGAUGCACAGAUUCAAGCACUCCUUGUAGGCAACAAUUUGUCCUCUAGUAAUAUAUAUGCAAAGGAUUAAGUAGGGAUGUCAAUGAAUAUGGAUGUCCAACAUUUUAUUCAAAUCAGAAACUCAUGACCGUGACAAUUUUAGUCGAAACUUAAUGAAAUGGUUUCGGCUAUAGGGAUAAAAAUCUAAAAUCCAACACUUAUGGUUUUGAUUAUGGUUUCGAAACUUAAUGAAACAUAACCAAAUCCGAAACCAAACCUAUAUAAUUAAAUGUAUAAUGGCUAACUAUGCCCAUAGCAUAGCAAAUAUAUAUCGAGCUAAAUACGCAUCACAUCAUACAUCAGGCUUCCACAACACUAGCUUAUGGGACUCGAUUCAUCAUUUCUUUCUCUUCAAAAGUUAUAGAGCAUUUGUUUAAGAUGUACGCUUUCAGCUUUAGCAAUAAGAGUGUUAAUGGGCUUGCAAUUUGUAUCUGAAAUUGUUCUGAAGUUCUUACUUAAUUAAGCAAAUCUCUUGAGACAAAUUAACCUAGAAGCUUCUUGAAACAAUCUCUCAGGAUCUUAACAAUGAGUACAUAAUUCACUUCAUCCGUAUCCUUUAUCUGAAAAUUUUGAGGACAGCCAUGCCUUUAUGGUAACAAUCAUCUGCUUGUCUUUUCCGGCUAAUAUAAUAUCAUUGACUUUCAAGGAAAGAAUUAGGAAUAUCUCUUCGAACUAUUUGACAUAUACGUAGUGUCUUUCCCAAUCAUCGUAAACCACCCAUCAUAAGUGAUGGUUCGAUGAAAUCUAAUAUACCACUGCGCUUGGAUGACUACUUCAAUUUAUAGAUGAAUCAUCUAUGUGGUGUCCCAAAAGAUUAGCUGAUCACAUAAUGUCUAUGUAGGUUAAGGAUUUGAACCCUCUUUCAUGGCACUAGGUUUUGGAUCCGGCCGGAUUGCUUUUUAGGCUGUUGUGGACGCCCGGAUGUGAGAUUAGGGUGCCCGGAACCUAGGAUUCCUACAGUUAGGUUACCACCAAUUGACGGUGAAGGCCGAGGAUAUUCUCAAGAUAGCGUUAAGGCUGCGGUAUGUGCAUUAUGAGUUCACUGUGAUGCCUUUUGAAUUGACAAAUGCCCUUGCCGCGUUUAUAAAUUUUAUGAACAGGGUAUUCAAGCCAUAUUUCGAUAGAUUUGUUGUGGUAUUCAUAGAUGAUAUGUUGAUCUACUUCUAGAGAUGUGGAGUACGAGGAGCAUUUGAGGAUACUUCUAUAGCUUAUGAGAGAGAAGAAAUUGUAUAUCAAGUUGAAGAACUGUGACUUUUGGCUUUGGGAGGUUGCUGUCUUGGGCCACGUGAUUUCAGCCAUAGGAGUGGUAGUAGACCCGAAGAAGGUUGAUGGGAUUCAUGAUUGGCCCAAUUGACGACGAUCACUGAGGUGAGGAGUUUCCUCAGAUUAGCAGGAUAUUAUCGUCGAUUUAUAAAAGGUUUUGCAAAACUUUCCACACCCGUCACUUGACUGACUCGAAAGGAAUUAAGUUUGUUUAGAGUGAGGAUUAUCAGAGAAGUUUUGAGGAAUUAAAGCAAAGGCUGAUGUCAGCUUUCCAGUUAUGAGGGAAGGAUUCAUAAUUUAUAGUGAUGUGUCACAUAGUGGCUUGGGAUGUAUGCAUAUUGAUGUAGUAUGAUGGAGUAAUUGUUUAUAUUUUGUGACAAUUGAAGGAUUAUGAGAGACUGAUCAAGAAUAUGCUGGAACAAUCCAUCAUACAACCUAGUAAUAUAGUCCAUUUGCUUUCCCAAUAUUAUUGGUAAAAAAAAAAGGAUAGGAGUUGGAGACUCUACAUAGACUAUAGACAACUGAAAGGCAUACUUUUAAAGAUAAAUUUUCUAAUUGCAAUAAUUGAUGACUUUAGAUACAAAUGGGAGGUUCCAAGUUUUUUCACAAGUUAGACCUAAAAUCUAGAUAUCAAAGGAAGACUUUGGGACAAGAUAUUUUGUUCAAAGCAGAGGAAAAUAGUCAAGAUUUUGUGACGCCAUCUUGAGACCGCUCAACAGAGGAGCUACUUUGAUACUAGCCUAAUCUGUCACGCCCCAGAUUCCAGCACAACCCGGGCUCGCCAACAAAUCCGCCGCAUACACAGGAAGCCCUAUAUACACGAAGCAAUAGAAUUAUCUAUAAAAAAUACAAGGGUCGGUGCAUAUAUAUUAUCCAUGGAGUACAAAAGUAAAAUUCAUAAAUACAAACCCCACCUUGCACAACUUUGAACUAUAUAAAUAAUUACAUUUGUAUAUACAAAGACUAUAACCCAAAAACUGUCUCCAAAAAUGUACUCCAUUAUCUCAGCAACACGGGUGGUAGGGAUCUAACUCGCGACUCUCUUACCUUGAUCAACGGUGGCGGCAGGUAUAGGAGACUCUUGAAGAAAAAGGGAUAACAACAUGCGUGAGAACUACUAUAAAAUAAAGUAGUCCUCAGUAGAUACCAUCAUCGACGCCAACAACCUAUCUGUUAAAUCUACGAAACUGAAAGGUAUAACGGAGUAAGUAAAGGAGCAGAAGUAGUAAAGCUGGAAAGAAAUCUACAUGUAUUACUAACUUUUGUUAGAAUUCUUAUUUGGUUCUUGAUUUCGCUAAAUCUAGUAGGAAUUCUCCAUGGUAUCAGGAGUUUAAGGUAAUGCCAUUUAGUCUAACCAAUACUCUAGCAACUUUCCAAGCCAUGAUGAAUGAGGUCUCUGAUUCUUAUCUAAGAAAAUUUGUUCUAAUAUUCUCUGAUGAUAUUCUAGUUUACAGUAGAUCAUUGGAGGAACACAUUGAACAUUUGACAUUGGUGAAGAAAAAGCUGUGAGAGAACAAGUUACUUGCAAAAAAAGAAAAGUCAAUGUUCUUUUGGACAAAGAAAUGUUGAAUACUUGGGACAUAUAAUAUCAUAAGAGGGAGUGGCUACUGACCCUUCCAAAAUAGAGGCAAUGAUCUACUGGCCAGUGUCAAGGUCAGUUAAUAGCCUAAUGGGGUUUCUGGGAUUAACUAGUUAUCAAGAGAAGUUUGUCAAGAGAUGUGGACAAAUCAAUGGACCCCUCACUGAGUCUCUUAAGAAAGACUAGUUUUCUUGGUUAGAGAAAGCUCAGAAAGCUUUUGAAACAUUGAAAAUUGGCCAUAACAAUAAUUUAUACAUUAACCAUGCCGGAUUUCACAAAGCCUUCACUUUAGACGUAGAUACAAGUGGAGUUGGAAUAGGAGCUUUUUCCAUCUCAAGCAAGGAAACCGAUAGCAUUUUUGAGUGAAACUAUUAAAUGCAAGAAUAUUGGCCCCUCUACUUAUGAAAAAGAAUUUUUAGCUAUUUCAAUGGCAAUUCAAAAUGAAAACAUUAUUUGAAAUUCCAAUGUUUUCUCAUCAAAACUAACUACAAAAUCAUUAAAUAUUUGUUGGAGCAGAAGAUUACAACUCCUAUGCAACAAAAAGGCAUGAGGAAGUUGAUGGGCUUGGACUACACCAUACCGUAUAGGAAAAGGGAGAAACUUUAGCAGCUGAUGUCAAGGAGAUCACAAAAGAUGAAAAUUUCAUGGCUAUAACAGUUAUAAUACCAACGUGGACCCUAGAAGUCUCUAAAAGCUAUAAAGGUGUAGCACACUGGACCUUUGCAAAUUGCGAGGUUCAAGUGUUUGAUAUGUAUUCCGAACUUUUCCACACUUGGUGGAAGGUCGUAGAUGGUAUUCUGACCUAAAAGUUCGAUUCUGGGAGUUUUGGCAAGUCCUGAGAGUUUUCAGUCUCGGGGACCGGUCCCUGAUAGGAGAGACCGGUCCCCUCAGAACAGUGUUGCGGCAGGACUUGAGACAACCGAUCCCUGGCGGGUGAGACCGGUCCCCGAGCGCGAUUACGCAGGGAGAGACCGGUCCCAUGCGGGGAGAGACCGGGUCCCGAACGUUGGAUUUUCGGGGCAGACUGAGAGACCGGUCCCAGGUCGGGGAGACCGGUCCCUCAGUUCGAAAACUGCCCAGACCCGGGCAGUGCACAGGUUGGAUUUUUGAGGGACUUAAGUGGAUUUUGUUACUUCAAAGGGCCUUAAGGCCAUUUCCUCUCUCCCUUACCCUCAUUUCUCUCCCUCACAUUCUCUCUACACCCUCUAGAAAGAGAAGAAGAAGGAGAAGAAGAAGAAGGAGUUGGAGGAGAGCAAGAUUUUGAGGCUUUGGAGCAUCUUCCUCUCCUUUUGCUCACCAUUGGAGGCUUGGGGCUUGCUGUUAGGGCUUUGUGGAGGUUCAAUCUUCAACCCUAGAAGAUUUGGAGCUUAUUUUGGGGCAUCUAGAGAGGUUAGUACUUUGAUUCUAGCCUAUGAUCCAUGUUUUGGUAGGUUUUACCAUAUGAAACCCUAGAAAUGAGAUUUAGAGUUUAUUUUGGAAAUUUUUGAUUUGAGGGCUUGGAGACCCAAUUGAUGAAUUUAGAACCUUUAUUUAGGUUGGAUUUGAAGAACUCUAACUCCCAUUUGGAGCUUGAGAGAGGAUUUCUUCACUUGAGGUGAGUUUUCCCCACCUUAGCCUAUGUUGCUUUUUGAUUGAGCUUAGGGUUGAUCGUAAGGUUCGUUUAACCCUUGUUUCUACAUCUUUAGGGUGCUAGGAGACUAGUGGACACCUCCGUUGGAGCAAACGAAGGAGCGCAAGAGUUGUGGUGGGUUUGGCUUUAUGAAAACGGGGCGAAAUGGCCCCCAUACUUUCUAUACUCGUCAUAACGUCAUUUUAAAUGCAAAUCUAUGCUAAAUGAAAUUUAUGUGAAUUUUAGAAUACUUAAAAUGUAUGUGUUAUGUAUAAGAAAAUUUUCACUCUAUAUAGUAGAGCAUUCUGGGUAUUGUUACAUGCAUUUGAGUAGUGUUCGCACUAGUCGUUUGGAAACAUGCUUCAUAUGUUUAAAGUGGCUCAAUUAUGCAUUUAUAAAUAUUUGGAUUAAGCUUGGACUUAGUAAAUGAAAGUGUCAUAAAGGGGCACUUAGACUAGCACACUAUGAGAUUAUUGUAUUGACUUAGUGAUAGGCCAUGGACAUCUACUACUUUUCAUGUUUUAGACAUGAUGACAUAGAGAUAGGCCUAUGAGAGAGUUGUGAUAUAUUUCAUGUUGUUAGACAUGAGGACUUGAUACUUGAGACGGAUCUUUUGGUUACUUGCCAUUGUGCUCAUUCGUACAUGCUUGUGAGAGUCGCUCCCUAAAAGCUGGCACUCCGGAGAUGGCCAUCACGAUACAUAUUCGCCAUGUGGGAUUGGGCGCCGAAAUGGAUUGCCGUGGGAAAGGCUCAUUCCUCGAGUGGGGAUGUUGACUAUCACGAGGCCAUUAGGCUCGGCACCGGCCAGACAGCCUGCGGAUGGGUCUCAGGGCCAGACAGCCUUCGGGCGGGUCUCUUCAGAUUUGAUUUUGAGCAUUCAUCAUGCCAUGUGGACAUUGAUUAGAAUAGUAAAUAAUGACAUCUUUACUAUUUGACUUAUGGACAUCAUACUAGCGAUACUUGGGUAUAUUCAUACGAGAAUAGCUUUUCUUACUUAUGCUAAAUCAUGCUAAGUAGAGAUAUCAUGUGGUAGCAAAUAUACAUGCUUAUUUACUUGUCGUACAUAUCGUUUUUGUUUAUAUCUACUUACUGACCCUCUUUUUAGUUUGGGCCUAGUGGUGUAUUUCACUGAAACCAGUAAUUGCCCACUGGGAACUAUUAUUCAAUAGUUCUCACGCCCCAUGUUUUAUGGUUUUAUUUCAGAGCCUUCGGCACCGGCGGAGGUACGGGAUUGCGGCAAGGGAGUCGCAUAGCUAGAUAGCGAAGCUUGCUGUUGCUCCUAGGUGGUCACUCUCUUCUUUUUCAUUUUUGGUGAGAGAGAGAGUUUUGACUACCAUGUAUAGAGAGACCACCUAUGUACUUGUUUAGCUUUUGUAUUGGGAUUCCUAUUAUAUUCACUUUAUGUUUUUACUUAGUGGAUUUACUUUUAUAUUUCUUACCCUUAUUGUAGCUUCUAGAUAUACCUUGCUCUGAUGCUUCUAGAUGUUCUUUUUAUUGUCUUAUUUAUCGUUUUAUUGUAGAUGCCUUAUAUGUUUUAGACAUAUGGCGGGUCUGGGCACGCGCCGGGCGAGCUUCCGCUGGGUCCCGGGGCGUGACGAAAGAUGAUAGGCAGUAUGCGCAAUUAUUAAUAACCCUCACCCUACAAUCAUGAUCCUAUGAGCACUAGAAAAUUUUAAGGUACAAGGAGAAAUUAUGUAUCAAGAAAGCAAUAGACUUAAGACUGAGGCUAAUGACACAAUUUCAUGACUCAGCCAUUAGGGUUAUUUUAGGGGUAAAAUCUACUUACCACAGAAUCAAACAACACUUUUGUUGGGGAGGAAUGAAGAAAGACAUAUGGGAGUUUGUCAAGAAAUGUAGCAUUUGUGUUCAAAACGGGAUAGAGAAUCAACCAUACCCAAUUUUUGUAUAGCCACCGCCCAUAUUAGAAUGAGUAUAGAAAGUAUCAAUAUAGAUUUCAAAAAGUCACUACCUAAAUCUGAGGACAAAGAUGUGGUAUUAGUGGUGGUGGAUAGGCUAACAAAGUUUGCCUAUUUUAUCUCUUUGCAGUAUCUUUACACUGCCAGAGGAGUGGCCAAAGCAUUCUUGGAUACGGUCUACAAAUUACAUAGAUGUCCAAAAAGGAUAGUAUUAGAUAAAGAUAAGGUAUUUACCAGUGAAUUAUGGAUUGAGUUUUUCAAGUUAAUGAGGAUCAAAAUACAUAUAAGCAUGGCUUACCAUCCAUAAACAGAUGGACAAACUGAAAGACUUAAAUAGGUGCCUACAAACCUAUCUAAGAUGCAUGUGCUUUCAAUACCCAAAGAAGUGGCACUACUGGUUAACUCAAUCAAAAUGACGGUACAAUACUGCCUUUCACUCUUCAUUGGGUAUGACCUGUUAUAAGCCAUUAUAUGGACAAGCACUUCUAACUCACAUUGUGGCCACUGCCAAACCAACUACCUCACAGGAGAUUAAGAAGUGGGACAGGCUACAAAUGGCUCAGAAUAGAAUGAAGUAGCAAGAAAUAAGCAUGUGAAGGAAAAAGAAUACUUGGUAGGAUAUUGGAUCUAUCUCAAAUUACAAUCUUAUAGGCAAACUUCAAUGGCCAUAAAGAAGAGUCUCAAGAUAGCCGCAAGAUACUACUGGCACUUUGAGAUCAUAGAGUGUAUAGGGCCAAUGGCUUAUAAGUUGUGUUUAAUUGAAGGAUCAUAAUAACACCUUGUAAUCCACAUUUCUCUACUUAAACGAAGUGCAACUUCACCAAACACAGUGUCACUAACCAUUCCUCUCACUGGAGAGAACGACAACUCUUAGUCGAAUCUAAGCAGAUUCUUGAUAGGCGUAUGGUCCGAUGAGGCAAUAGUGCAGCGAUUGAGCUAUAUACUAGUGAAGUGGAGUAACCUCCUUAUGGAACCAGCCACUUGUGACGAUUAUUGAAAUCUCUCGCAUUGAUUUCCAAGCUUUGAUCCUUGAGGACAAGGAUCGGGUUAAAGGGAAAAAAUUGUAACGACUGUAGGAUAUCACAAAGAAAGUAUGAGAUAGAGGUAAAAGGCUAUACGAAACAUAGUUAGAGAAAAAGAUAGGACUUAGCUUUUAUUUCAUACUGUUUGUAAUGGAUUUCGGGGCAGUGAUUGAAGCUUAGUGGCUAUUGAAGCUUUGAGGUAGAGAUCCAUAGCAUUUCUAUUCAGAAGGAUCCAAAAAAGGGAUGACGGAGGUAACAAGGAAAGAGUACGAGGCAUAAGGAGUCGGUGGUGGAGAGUAGGAUUUCAAAGAUGCCGCAAGAAGCUUCUACAAGAAGCUUCGGGAUUUUUAUGGAAACGAUGAUGGAUUCGCUUUUUAGCAGAACCCAACCCGAAAACCGACUUAUUUCCAAACCAUUACGACCAAAGUAGCAUGGCUUGAGUCCAUGCGACUUGGCGACCGAGCCUAACAGCCACCUAGAUAGAGCAACAUAUCAACAACCGGCCUAAGUCUGAAACUACAGGAUCCAACAUCGAUCCGACUCAUAUUAGCAUUUUACAUUUUAGUCCUACUUUUAUUCAGAAUUACAGUUGAGUCCAAAAUUGAGUCUAUAAAUAGGAGUAGUUGUAAUAUAAAUAACCAACAAGAAUAAGAUUACAAAUUUCCCUCUCAAUUCCUAUCUCCUUUCUCCUCCUUCUUCUCCUCAGCCCAAAAUGUCACGCCCCGAGCCCGCCUCUUUGGUCGGAUUCGGGCACGCUGACAGACCGCCGAAUGGACAGAGUUUUCCUGUACCGCGGACAGAAUCUCCCCUAUACGUCCAAGGCGUCACAAUCCAAACAAUGCACGAGGUUCCAAUCAGAAACAGCGUUCAACAAAGAUUGCAUAAGAAAGGUAUGAAAUUGCAUAAGGAAGGUAUGAAAACAUAAUUACCUAUGCUAUUACAAGCAUUCAACAUACAUACAUUUUACAUAUUACAUUUUCAAUUCUUUAACUCUCUUUAUAGCUUCCAAGUACAAUCCAGUUUUAACAUAAUUAUUACAACUUUGUUCUCUUCCUUUCACAACCCUAAGUUAUGCCGACACAGGGUAUUGCUAUCUCUGGUCUCAGUGGUAGGGCGCUAUCUACGGAGCUAUGCCCUUGCCUCGCGCCGCCGCGUCGCUCACGUGCGAACCUGUAACACUCAAAAGCAACGUGGGGUGAGAACUAACUCCAUAGUUCCCAGUUGGUAUGGCCACCCAAGGGAAAAGCUCGACCAGCAGGUCCAAAGGAGGCAAACAACAUGUUAGUUCAAUAGAUAGAUAUGAAAUCAUAGUUUAUGCAACUAACAAAUAUAAUGCUUUGCCUCACAAAUACGAUAAUACCAUUCUAUAUGCAAUUUAUGCAACAAUGCAAGUAGAUUAAAUGAUUCUACUCUUUAUUCUUAACCAUUCUUUACUCUUAGCCACUCAUUAUCGCUAAUCAUUCUUUACUUUAUUAGCUAUUCUUUAACACUAGCCGUUCUUUACUACUCAUCAUUCUUUAUUCUUUGACAUUCUUUAUUAUUAUUAGCCACUCUUUAUUCUCUAUCAUUCUUUCCUAAGGUUACUUUACCUUAGCCAACUAUGCUACUCGACUCGGUCUUGAGUCAAUCAUCUGCGGAUAAUCCGCGCUCUGUCCGGCUCGAGGCGAAGGAACUCUCACAUGCACCUCAGCCUUAAAUCCUCUCGACUAUAGGUCUACUCACAGGGUGAGGAUAUCCAUAGAACCUCGGACCACCAGUCGCUCAAUGGACCUACGGGCGAAGAGAACCACACAUACCUGCAUCCCCAAUCUCAUACUCAUACCUGGCGAGGAGAACCACACGUACCCGAUGAGUCACUGCCAGGCGAGGAGAACGACACGUACCCGCACUUACCAUUCACUUGCGCUUAGUCGCAAGGCUCAUUCGCUGCAUUAGCAGCCACUGCACUAGCAGCACUCAUUCCUAGGGAUUCCAGAAUCCACUUUCACAACUCUAGGGUUGGUCUUACCCUAUAGUACCGACCUAUCUCGGUCCAAACCUUUACUCAACCUAAGUUUAAUACACUUUAGGUUUGUUGCCACUAAGCACACAGCCUAGGUUCAUUAACACUAGGUUCCAAGUUCUCUACUACCUAGGUUCCUUCGACUCAAGGUUUACUGUCACUAUAUUCAUAACCUAGGUUUACUUGACUCUAGGUUUAAUGCCACUCAUAUUCUUAUUUUUCUAGUUGUCCGCACCUAGAAAUUACCCUUGACAUGCCACUCAUGAAUCACCAAUGUUCAAUGACACUAGAUUUUAUUGCCACUCUUGAUUCACCCUAGGUUCAACAACACUAGGUUCAUAUCCGACCUAUGUUUAGUAAGACUAGGUUCGUUGCCAUUCAUGUCCAACCUAUGUUUCAUACACUAGGUUAAGUGCCACUCGAUCUACUUGGCAUUCUAAUUGUCCCCAUCGAGUACUAUCAUGCAUCUUAUCUAACAUAAUUAACAAUAUGUUAAUAUGCAUGCUCUCUAACAUGAUCUCGCAAUGCUAAUAUGUACCUAGCAUGUAUUCUACAAUGCAUAUAAAUAUUAACAUGCAUCUAUCCAUUAGCAUAUAGUUUCCAUGCAACAGUAUGUAACUAUCAACUUAGCAUAAUUCUCAUAAGGAUACAUGCACACACUUUCCAUCUAGCACACUUACAAUGCCAACAUAUAUGUUCUUUCUAACAUGAUCUACAACAUGUUACCAUUCACUUAUAUGCUCUAGCAUGUUCUAUUACAUCUCAAUAUAAAACUAUCACUAGCAUAUAUUUUCAAUGCAUCAAUAUGCCAUUAUCAACUAUCAUCUAGUAUGAUUCACAUGAUACUAUCAUGCAUAUAUAUUCUCCAACUGGCAUUUAAAUUCACAUGCAUACAUUUCUAUCUAGCAUAAUUACAAUGCCGUCGUACCCAUUCAUAUGCAUCAACAAGAACUCAUACUCCACUUUGGCAUGGAGGCGACCUAGUCGCUUCGGUAAGCACAACCCACCUGUUAUUGCGUUCCGAUUGCUUGUCGACACUUGCAAUCGGCCUCCCGCGGCACACGCCGCCCGGUUCGGCCCAAUCUCACGCUCGACCACCGAACGACCACCAAUCUACAAUCCGAAAAUUAAAGAUCUGUAACUUGAUGCCACGAUACUCCGGAUCCGUUCUCGUGAUUUUUGGACGUCGCCUCGGCCCUCCAGGCGGAAACGAAAUCGAAACGUCCGUUUCUUCAAUAUCUUCACACUGGCUCGACGAAUCGCCGAACCGACUUCUCCAACGCGUUUGUAUACCUAGCAAUUAGGUUUAUAUCGGUUCAAUUUAGAUCAAACCCCAUCUAUGACAAAACCCCCCAUUUCUAAGCCCUAGCAUGUACAUAUACUCCAAAUUUCCCACAAUCUCAUGGAGAAACAUGCAUUUAGUAGUCUAGGGAUCAUUAGAAUACUAAGCAUAAAGAAUUUAACCAAAUCGUAAAUACAUACCGAAAUUUGAACGUCGAGACGAAAGCACGCCGCUCAACCGGGCGCACAAAGGCCCAAUCUGACGCUCCCAACGCGUUCGCAAGCUCGCUCUCCGCCAACACCGCAAAUUCGGGAGAAAACGAACAAGAGAGUAGGGAGUUAUUUAGAGAGAGAAAGGGAGGGUUUCUCUCUCCCCCUCCAUACAUGUGUGUGUGUUGUGGCUGCUGCGGCUGAGGAAGAAUGGAGUCGGAGAGAAAGGGAGGGUUCCUCUCUCAAACUUUCCCAAACUCUCUCUAUUAGUCCCCAUGACAAAUGUUCACUAUCGCAGCUUCUUCAUGGAUACGUGUAUGAAUGGAGUCGGAGGAGAUUCAGUAGAGAUCACACCUCGAUCAUCAUCAUCACCUUCCAAUCUUAGGCCAAGCUCAUCAUUGAUGGUUGCAACUUAGAACAUGUCAUAAUAGAUAGGUAGCCUAGAUAAAUCUGCCAUUAGCAUCAAAAACACGAAAAAAAUACUUGUAAUAAUAGCAACAUGCGUUCUAACUAGGCAAUCUUGUUAAAAACUAUGUCUAGGGCCCAAAAUCAACCUAAUCUUGCUCUAAUACCAAUGUACAAUGGAGUGAAAAUUCGAUCAAACCCUUUUGUGGAAACAACUCAUGUUAACUUUUCUUUGAACGUGACCAGUCUUGGAAUGUAGAUGUUGAUUUAUGUAUCCCCAUAUCGUCAAUGAAGAUCUUCUUACACUCGAAACUUUUGGUAAACCAAACUAUAAAUGAGCUAGGUUUCUAGUCAACCGUUCAAGACCCUUUAGGAUCAAUAGGUUAAUGGAGGAUACGAAUUUUUCCUUUGAAGAUGGCACACGAAUUUCAUAUGAAUUUUCUGAAUAUUUUCUCUAUAUUUCUUGUGUAUCUUGUAUAUUCUCUCACGUAUAUUUAUAGUGGUUUAUAACACCCUAUAUAGUAAGUGCAAUAUAAGAAAAUUAACAUUUAAGAAUAUAUGCUUUUUCAAUAUUUAACGAUACUUAAAAAUGUUCCAAAAUAGUCUACCGCCAUAUUUGAAAGCAUCAGCAAAUAAAGAGUUGCUAUGUAUAUAUCGAUGCUUAUGUCAAAAGUUGGUAAAAUAUAUUUCAACGCUUUAAAGCAUAAGGAGUUUUUUGAAAUUUUGAUACUUUAAAGCGUAAAAAACUUAAAAAUAAUAGUAAAGUUUAUCAUUUAAUAGAUUAGUUUGAUACAAUAGAUGAUUUAUAUGACGAUACUUUUUGAACUAUCGGCACUUGCUAUAUUGUAGGGACUCUAGGGGACGCUUUUCCUAAGCUUCAUCUAAAAAGCGUCUUAAUAAUGAGAUUUUCUUAUAGUGCUAGAUGAUUAGAUCGAAUCAGUUUAGUUAUCUUAAUAUGACAAGGAAAUAUCUUUAAUUAGCUUUUCAAAUUAAAAGUGAUGUUAAAUCUAGUCCAAUUAGCAGCUAGAUAGCAUAAUAACCAUCGAAUUGAUCAUGGAUGCACUUAAUUCGAUUUGACCGAAUGCCAACAAAGCGAUGCAGUCCAAAGCGUCUUCGAGUUUUUUGGGCUUUGAAGCAUCAGAGCAGUUGCUUUUGGAGAAUGUAUCACCAGUCGAGGCCUAAUUAAGGUCAAGUAUAUAAAAUUUUCAUACUUGCAAAUUUCUCCACAGAGUUAAGAAUAUACAACUAAAGAAUAGAAUAUUGCGAUAAUUGUGAUAGUAAUUAAAGAGCAUGUAAAAUAGGAGAUGCAUUUGUAAUCACAACAAUGAUAAAUAACAGACGUAUCAAAACAUAUCUUGUGUUUAUCAGGUACAGCACCUUAUAGUUAGUAAUUAGCUCAAGUUGUUUAGGUUAUUCCUACCUGUACUCCUUUGUCUUGGAGUUGGUUAGGUAAACAUGUAUGUAUUGCCAUGUAUACUCUAAAGUAAUUAUAUAGCAAAAAAAAUUUCUUUUCUAAUUCAUCAUAUUUUCACAUUGCAUUAAAGUGGUCUUGAAGGACGCACCACAAUGUGUAUUCUUUUUUUGUCACCAGUCACCCUUUUCCUCGUUCUUUCUCUUUUGCAGGGAUGACUCUUAGUACUAGGAACACAGUAUCAACCAACAAGAUGGUCGAUCUCACUUCUCCCUACUUUACUCGUCACUUGUUUGCUCACAACGGACAACUAUCUUACCUGAUUAAGAGCAAUGAAGAAUGCUCUUCCAGCCAAGAACAAGCUUGGUUUCAUAGAUAGGAGCAUCGAGAAGCUGCAAGGAGCUAGAGAGGAAAUGAAUGCAUGGAAUAUUUGCAACUCGAUGAUCAUUGCAUGGAUCUUCAACUCGCUUGACAAGACUUUGCAUGGUAGUGUUGCAAAUGUGGAGUACGCAAAGACGUGUGAGAUGACCUCCGUAAUCGAUACUCGCAAGGCAAUGCUCCAUAAGUUUAUUAAAUCAAGGCAGAGAUUCACUUUCUUCGCUAGGAAGGAAUGUCUGGCUCCAUAUUACACCAAAAUUAAAGGGCUUUGGGACAAAUUUGACAACUACUCGCUGACUCCGGCUUGCACCUUUCAAGUAGCGGCCGAAUACAUCAAGGAGUGAGAAGUGGAGAAAUUCUACCAUUUUCUCGUGGGUUUCAAUUAUGAAACUUUUGGUAUUGUUCGCUCACAAAUACUUAACUAUGAUCCCAUUCCUAGCUUGGCCAAGGCGUACUCAAUGGUAACACAAGAGGAGCGCCAAUCAGAUGUUGCUCAAGGAAGAGAGACACGUACCGAAGCAGCAGCAUUUUUUGCCGGUGAUGGUCCACGCCAUAUUACACAUAAAGCUCUACUAAAAUGUGAGCAUUGUGGCAAAACAGGGCAUAUCAAAGCUACAUGCUAGGCGUUGCAUGGCUACCCAAGAAAUUAUGAUAUGAAGUGUGCCAUGAAGUCUAAGAAGGAUAGUAGGACAGUUAGAAAAUUGCGUAUGGUAAAAACGCAGCAAAAAAUAAAAUCAAACAAAUUUAAUUUUGAAAACUCCUGAGAUCCGAUAUCAAAACUAUGCAAUUAGGAUCCCUCAUAUUCUUUAAGAUUAAAAGAGAAAAGCAAGAUCCAAUCUUUACCUUCGCGCGGAUAGAUCUUCACCGCAAUUUGAUGAUCGUGGAAUUAGGUUCUCUUGAAGCCGCACACACGUUCGGCCUCUAUAGGUAUCCACACGAGGUUGGUAAUUUGAUCGAUGUCCUCACCGGGGUGCUAGCUCUCUUGCAAAGAAUGUCCUUCUUGCUAGAAAAUGGAAGAAAGAGGAGAAAAGAGAUGACGGCUAGGAUUUUCUAAAAACUUCCAUAUAUUAUAUAGAAGGAUAUAAUCCUCUUUUUAAUAAUAUAAUGACCAUUAAGGAUAAAUACAAAUCUAGAUUUAAAUUUAUCCUUUCCUUAAUUGAUUAGAUCGAUCAAAUCCUAAUUUGAUUCGACUUGAACCUUAUCUUAAUUUGAUCAUAUCAAAUUAAUAAUGCAAUAUUUGCAUAUAAGUCCUCUCAUAAUUUACUAACUAUUACUAAGUCCUCUCUUGUAACGUUUAGACUUUAAUACCACUAAUUUGUAAUAAUUAUAAAUUAGUCCAAUUAUCAACAUAUUGACAAUUAGGUUCUCCGACGAUUCAAAAAUCGCGAUCUAGCUAUCCAAUCAGUCACAACCUCUUAUGUGUGCGACCCAGUAGAUUCUAUUCUAUCUGGUAGUGAGAUAUAUUUUGAUCACUCUCAACAAUAUCACUGAAACUUCUUUCAGUGGAUCGGAACAAUUCCAACUCAGCCCAAUGAGAAUUAUCGAUCAUCUAGAUAUUUCUCAUGAGUCUCACUAUCCACCAGUGACGCCUAGCAACAUGUAGUGGCAUUCCAGUAGAAUGAAAUACUAAACUUUUUGGUGCAGUUAUCGUGUGAUAUAGUCCUUCUAUUAUAAGUCCUGACUAGACGGAGGUUAUGGAAUAACUCGUCAAACCCCAUCAUUUGUCAUAUGUCAAAUUUAUUCGACUCGAGUUUCUAAUAUCGGAAACUCUUUUUUGCUAUUAAUUCUGCCCUGGCCAAGGUCUUCUAAACUCGGUCUCAUAAAUCACAUAGGACUAACGCCCCUAUCUAUUAAGGGAGAUAGAUUACAUAUAAGUGCACACUCUAUUCCUACAAUGAACCUACUGCAGUCAACAUGCACCGUAAGGACCCGAAUGGCUAGGGACCAAGUGUAUGUACGGUCAAACUACAGUAACCUCAUUGUAAGUAGCCGAGGCACCGCAGGGCAAAGGACUAGUCACACUACUGGAACAUUGAGUAAGUCACUUACGAGUGAGUAGACAUCCAAGUGACUUCUCACGUUGGUCACGCUCGGUACCCUUGUUCUCUAACAACCACCUGCAUAUUCGCUUCAGUGUCUCUACACUAUCGACUCGAGACUCGUCUACCCAAAAAGGGAAGCGAUCUAUGCACCAAUCUCACCGGCUCAAUCACCGUUCCCGUGAUGAUCCAUCGAUCGGGAGCAUUUAGGAAUUAAUCACCAAUAACACAUGUCUCAAAUUCUCAACUCUUGAGAAUAUAUGUCAUCAUCUUAUUAAUUCCUUGGAUGAUUCAUGGACACAUACACAACAUAAAUGAAAAUAAGAAUCCAAAUUUAUUCACAAUACUUUAAAGUCAAAAACAAAUUUAUGAUCUAGAAAGAAUACAUGUAUCGGCCUGAUUGGCUUCUAGGGCAUACAUCUAACAGGGAUGACCCCAUCAGAUAGUCAUCCAAUCGCUACUGCAAAUUCUGCUCAACUGAACAGUGGCCAUUCUUCUGCGGCAGCAUAGCCUUCACAUCAAUCACCUCUUCUAACUGAUGCAAAGAUUCAGCAACUCUAUGCACUACUCGUUACCUCAAAUGCCGCACCGAACAUCUUGUGGGUGAGCUUUUCUCUUAGUCUGCAGGUGUAACAUCUUAGGUUCUUGGCGCCGGCGCAUCGGCCGAUAUGACUGGCACUUUAGAUGACCUCUUGAAUGUGUAUAACGUUCGAAAUAGUUUUUCUAUUCAUGUUCCUAAUAGAAAGAUGCUACAUGCUCAAAAAAUUGGAGGCAUCAAAUUUGGCUCUAAUCUUUUUCUUAAAGAUGUUUUAUAUAUUCCAGAGUUCUAUUGCAACUUAAUAUCUAUUGGGCAAUUGGGACGUGAUUUACAUUGUUGUGUAACAUUCUUUUCCAAUAUAUGCAUCUCACAAGACCUAGCUUCGAAGAGGCCGAUUGGAGUACUACGGGUGAGUUGCGCAAUAGGGUCUAUCACUUAAGGAGUGUGUUGCACUCAUCAGCCUUCGUAGUAGUUUAUGGUGUCGAUGUGUAAUAUACCGAAAAUUCGGAAAAUAAAUGUCGAACUUUAGUCAAAUUGACCAAAGUGCGAGGACGGUACACUUCGGAAAGUCCGAAGGUGUUAAAAUAAGUAAAAGUGCGUUGUGGAAGGUUUUCGAGAGCUGAGGAAUCAAAAACCUGCAAACUGCAAUUUUCGAGCUCUCGGGGACCGAUCCCUGGUGGGACAGACCGGUCCCCGAACACGCAAGAAUUGAGAAAAAUCGAAAAUCGGCUAAGUCCCUGAGAACCAGCUCUCGGGAACCGGUCCCUUCCUGAGAGACCGGUCCCCCAAAGACCGGUCCCCUCAAAGAGAGACCGGUCGCAUCGCGCGCAGCAGCUCUGGCUGCGCAGGGUGGACCUUCGAGAACCGGUCCCUAGUCGGGGAGACCGGUCCCCGAGCCCGAAAAUUGCCCAGUCCAGGCAGUUGUAUAAGGUGAAAGUUGAGGGGUUAUCUGCAUUUUGGCAACCCAAUGAGCUAAGUAUUGGGGUAAAUAAGAUAUUUCUCUCAUUCUCACCCUCUCACACUCUCAUCUCUCUCUUUCUCUCUCUAGAAGACAAAAAGGAGAAGAAGAAGAGAAGAAGGGAAGGAAAAAGAAAGGAAAAGAAGAAGAAUAAAGUGGAGAAGAAGCUAUUGGAGUGAAGCAACUUCAUCUUCUUCCUCUCUAGAGCAAGAAAGGAGCAAGCUUAGAGGUAAGAUUUGCCCCUUCUGAUGUUAAAUUCCAAACUAGGGUUUGGAUUAGAGCAAAGAUGAUUUUUAUGUAACCUUUAGAGUAUUUGAAGCUUUUCUUUUGCUUCUUUAGAGAUCAAGACCAUAAGUUUAGUGUUGGAGGUGAAGCUUGAAGGAGAGCUUCAUCCCCUCUCAUGGUAGAAUCCAAACUAGGGUUUGGAUUGGAUUAAAGAUAGUUUAGAUGGACUCUUUAGAGUAGAACGAAGCUACUUUUGCUUUCCAUUGAGAUCAAACCCUAGGUUUGAUACAUGUAAUGGAGCUAGGGCACCCAAAUUGGGGCUUUUGCUCAUGGGGAUUUCUAAGUAAAAUUGGCUCUCUAGAAACCUAAUUGGGGGUAUUUCCGACGCGUUGGUACUCUCGGAUUAGCAUUACGAAAAGUCUGUAAAAAGUUAUGGGCAAAAUGACCUAAGUUGGCUUCGUUUUGCCGCAGGCAAAGAACGAGAAGUCUAAAAAUCCCAAGAAAAUCAUCGGAGCACCCUUGAAAGCCUACGAGGUGGGUGGUGCUUCUCAAACUCGUUGAACUUCCCUCUAUGCCUAAUGUGUCAUUCAAUUGAGCAUAUGUUUAUACGUUGUUGCAUGCAUUUUAGGGUAAAGUAGUGAUAAUAAUGUGAUGUUGCAUGAUUGUGAGUACAACUUGCAUAAUGUGAUGGUUGAGAACCUUAUGAAUGUCAAAAACCCUAAAUGUGUGCAUGAGGUGAAAUGUGAGAGCCAAAGUGAGGCAAAAGAACAGAGUGACACAUGACAUAGAUCGAGUGGCAUUUGAUAGUGCAAAGUAAAGAGACACUAGAGCUAGUGUGAGGCAAAGAACCAAUGUGAUGUAAAGAAUUAUGCUAAUGACUAAAAUGAAAACAAAGUGGGAUGUAAAGAAUUAUGCUAAUGACUAAAAUGAAAACAAAGUGGGAUGUAAAGAAUAAGAAUGCUAAAGAUAGCCAAAAGUAAGGAAAAGUAAAGAACAUGAUUGCUAGAGUGGCAACAUAAAGUGAUGUAAAGAACACUAGAGUUAGUGUAAAGUCAAGAUUGAACAUACAAUCCUUUGAGUUAAGGAUUCGAUCAUACUUGCUAUGAGUUCCGUGCUCGAGGGCGGUCGCUCCCCCUCGGGCGAUGCGCUCCGGAGUUAUGCAUCACGGGUUGGAGUAAACCCGAAGGACGGUCCUAGCGGGUGAGUUCCUGCGAUGAUGGACUUAAUGUGAAGCAAGUUAAUGUGGCGAAACCCCCGGAUUAGCCUUGAGAUUAAAGAACAAAGAGUAAAGAAUAAAGAGUAAAGAACAAAGAGCAAAGAACAAAGAACAAAGUGUAAAGUGUAAAGUGUAAAGUGUAAAGAACGAAAGAACUUGCAUAAUCUGCAUAUGUUUAAUGUUGAGCAUAUUUCCUGCUUAUUGUUCAGGCAUAUUAGCAUCCUAUUAUAGAUUGGUUACUAUAUACACCUUAUCCUUUCUAUUAUGCCUGAGUUAGUUCUAGUGGGAAAGUCGGUGAUGUUGAGGCCGAACCCACUGGGAACUUUGUUGUAGUUCUCACCCCACUAUUUCCACAGAGCCGGGACCGAGCGAGCCGGCGAGCGACCGAGGUAAAGGAAUCGCGCCUUAGUCAGAGGCCACCAGAGUUGGGUUUAUCUUUUGUAGUAAAGUACCCUAUGAUCAUCUUUUGUACUUGAUGAUAACAGAUGUAAAGAAAAGAAUGUAAUGUGUAUUUUGAGGCAAAUGUGAUGUAAGAAGGAAAUGAUGAAAUGAAAUGUAAGGAAUUCGAAAAUGUACAAGAUGAAUGCAAUGUAUAUGGUCAAAAAUGAAUCAUAGUACAAGUGAAUGUUAGUUUCCUUUUUCUUUCACUCGUGGCUUUUGCUUACCCUCGUGUAAGCCAUGUUUAUAUGUUUCCGCUAGUGCACUUCAUAUUUGAAAAUGUACAUGUGAUGAGCCUUGGGCAGAUAGGGGAAACUCUGUCCGUUCGGCGUCUGUUUGACGUGCUCGGGUCGGCCCAAAUUGGUAUCGGUCCCGGGGCGUGACACGAUGAGUCAAAGAUUUGGCACAUGCGAAUAAAGCAUCCAUUAUUUCAAGUUCUACAGCAUUUUCUUGAUGUUUUUUCUUCUCAUGUUAUCAAUAAACAAUGUGAUAUUUGUUAUCAAGCUAAAUAGACUCGAAACCAGUUUUUCGUCAGUUCUAGCAAUGCAUUACAAAUCUCUGAUUUGAUCCAUAUUGAUACAUGGGGAUCCUAUAAAUUGCCUUUAUUAUCAAGAGCUCGUUACUUUCUAACAUUUGUUGUGAUCAUCGUCACAACACUUGGGUCUAUCUUAAGUGCGAGAAAUUGGAUACUCAUGAUUUCAUUGUUUCCUUUUAUAACAUGGUUGUCACACAAUUUGGUUGCAAGAUCAAAAUCAUUCAUAGUGACAAUGGUCUAGAAUUCGUUUCUCAUUCCAUGGCCAAAUUCUACUCUCAACAUGGCAUUAUUCAUUAAACAAGUUGCAUCGACACACCAUAACAGAAUGGCUGAGCAAAGUGCAAAAGUCGGCAUGUUCUUAACAUUGCUCGUGCUCUUCUUUUUCAAGCCUAUCUACCAUUAAAAUUCUAGGCUGAGUGUGUGUUAAUCAUAGCAUCUCUUAUAAACUAUAUACUAUCCACUAUUUUAUCCAACAAAACUCCAUUCUAAAUCCUAUCUAGUAAGCCUCCUUCAGUCAAUCAUUUACGAGUUUUUGGCUCUUCGUGUUAUAUUCAUCACAAGUCUCGCAGUCGUGAAAAAUUCACAUCAUGCACUCGCGAAUAUAUAUUUCUUGGUUAUCCUCAUGCAAGAAAGGGUGGAAUGUUUUCGACCUUUUCAACUCAUGAACUUUUGGUUUCUAAUGAUGUAAUUUUUCAUGAAGCUUCUUUUCCUUUCAAAGCUUCCCUAGCACCUAAUUCUUCUAUGUCAUCUUCUCUAACUCUGAGUCUUGUUUCUACAGAUCCAUUGGUUCCUUCAUAGCAUGAUGCUGUCACACCAGCUUUGGAUUCCUCCCCAGCCACAUAUGCUCAUGUUUUUUCCUCAAAGAAUUUCGUGAUAAUACCUAUUUUCAUUCCACAACCGGCUGGUCCAUCUGGCUCACAUGAUUAUUCUAUUAAGCUAUCUAAAGAGUGCACACAAGUUCCCAUUGGCCCAUUUCGGCUGUGUCCAACUUUGAAUAGGCAGUUGUUGAUCCAUCUAGAUCAAGUGCGGCCGUCAGUCCGUUGGUGCCUAUUGACAUGGGGAGGUUGGCUCAAUUGAGGCCACCAAGUGAACACAAGAAACCAGUGAAGAAUCGUGAUUAUAUUUGCAACAUAGCCAUCUCCUUAAACCCCACUCAUGACUCAUCCUCACCCAAUUCCUCUUUUGGUAAGGCCCAUCACCUUGGAAAUCAUGUUACUUAUGAUCAUCUAUCAUGUACUCACAAAGCCUAUCUAGUUUCUCUAGACUUUGUUGUUGAGCUCAGGUCCUAUUCUGAGAUGGUUCAUGAUCCCCAAUGGCUUGAAGCCAAUAGCCAAGGAAAUUGAUAAAUGGGUCUACAAGAUCAAACGGCAUGCUAACGGAAGGAGCGUUAUAAAGCUCAACUCAUCACGAAAGGAUUUACUCAAAUCGAGGGCCAUGAUUUUCAUUAAACUGUUACCCCGGUUGCCAAACUUACAAAGGUCUAUUACUUCCUUUGCCAUCACCAAAGGAUAGGAGCUCCACUAGAUGGAUGUCAACAAUGCUUUUCUCUAUGGUGAUCCUCAUGAGGAGGUUAUAUAUGCCUACCUCCUGGUUUUCACUCUAUUUGGCCGAAUAUAGCUUGUUGCCUCCGCAAAUCUUUGUACGGCCUUUGUCAAGCUUCACGCAACUGAUACUUCAAACUCUCAGAUGCUUUGAAGCAAUAUGGGUUUUUCCAAUCCUUAGUCGCCUAUUCUCUUUUUACUUAUUCGAAAAGAUGGUAUCUUUGUUUCUCUUCUAAUCUAUGUAGAUGGUCUUAUACUUGCUAGCAAUUCGAGCUACUAUUGUUCUUCUUUCAAGGCAUAUCUUGAUACUUGCUUUCAUAUUAAGAAUCUUGGCCCGUUGAAAUAUUUCUUGGACAUUGAAGUUGCUAGAAAUGGUUCGAAAUUGUCCUUAUCACAGAGCAAGUAUACACUGGAUAUCUUAACAGAGUGUGACAUGUUAGGAGCUAAAGCUGCCACUUUUCCCAUGGAGCAAAACUUAAAACUCAUGGCAGACUCAGGUGCGCCUCUUUCUAAUACUGGCUGGUAUUGUCGCUUGGUUGGUCAUUUGGUCUAUCUUACCAUUACACGACCUGAGUUGAGCUACUCGGUCUAUAUCCUCUCUCAAUUUAUUCAAGAUCCACAUCAAGGACAUUGGGAUGCUUUUCUUCGUGUUCUCUUAUAUUUGAAACAUUCUCCUGACCAAGGUAUCAUGCUUUCUCAUCCUUUCAGUUGACGGCUUACUAUGAUUCAGAUUGUGCAAGUUGUUCUAUGAUCGGGAGGCCAGUUGUUGAUUGACGAUUUUGUCUUCCUUGGUGAUUUGCCAAUCUCUUGGAAAACUAAGAAACAACAUACUGUAUCUCGGCCAUCUGUAGAGGUUGAAUACCACUCCAGGGCAACUCCUGUUUGUGAACUGCUUUGGCUUUGAUCUCUCCUCAGUUCUCUUGGAAUCUUUAACUCUCGACCAAUGCAGCUUGCAUGCGACGAUAAGGUAGCCUUGUACAUUGAUGCAAAUCCCGUCUUUGAUGAAUAUACAAAGCACAUAGAAAUUUAUUGUCAUUUUAUUCAUCAACAUAUUUUAUCCCAAGCAAUUAUCACUGCUCAUAUCGCUACUAAAUUCCAAUUGGCGAAUAUUUUGACUAAGGCCCUUGGUCGAGAUCGGUUUCACUCUCUUCUCCGCAAGUCGGGUAUUCAUGACAUUCAUACUCCAACUUGAGAGGGAGUAUGAGACAUCAAAACAUAUCUUGUGUAUGUCUUGUACUACACCUUAUACUUAGCAAUUAGCUAUAGGUUGUUUGGAUUGUUCAGGUUCUUCGGGUUGUUCCUAUCUGCACUCCCUUAUAUUGGAGUUGGUUACAUACGCAUAUAUGUAUAUAUUGCCAUGUAUACUCUGAAGUAAUUAUAUAGCAAAAAGGUUUUUCUUUUCCAAUUCAUCAUAUUUUCACAAUAGAGAAUAACAAUUGACAAGUUCACAUCACAUAAACAAUUUAACAUACAAUCGAACUUUAUUACCAACCGACAUAUAUUUUACCAAAACAUGAAAAAGCAAACCCGACUAGAACCAAAAAUUCAACAAAGACAACAAAUACUAGAACACAAUUCGAAACUACAGAAACCGGUAAUUUUUAUUUAACGGCAUUGGAAUGUAGUAUGAUUCUGCUAUGCAGGUUUUCAAGUAGAUCAAGCAGAUCCCUUGAACUUCUUUGUGAUUGUCGCGAAGUACUGGCCCUGAUGGAACGCCUGCUGUAGCUCGAGUUCGGAUGGCAAUCUCGAACCGUCUCCUGCGAAUGUGCCGGCCCCAUAGGGGCUGCCGCCCUUCACGUUCUCCAUCUCAAACAUUCCAGCCCCAAAAGUGUACCCAAUCGGCACAAAUAUCAUUCCAUGGUGGGUCAACUGAGUUACAGCUGUCAAACUGAAAAGGAAAACAGAUAAGCUAAACUAGUGUGCAAUGCAUUUAAACUGGCAAAAUUUCUAGCAACAUUUAGCUAGUUAUCUUCUCCCCCUUAUAUACAGCAAAAUGCAAAUGAGACAGAAAAAUUAUUAUGAAUUUGAAUGUUGAGAGUUUCGAAAUUUAUGUGGGGAAUACGGUCCCAGAGGAACAGCUCUUUUUUUCCCCCACUAAAUAUAGCGUGUCUUAAUAGAUUACAAAAAAGAGGUACACAUUGAUAGAGGGAAAUCAAUUAUAAAUGACGUAAGACCAAAUUUGGACUAAAUAAUGGCAUAGGGUGGCCAAGAUAUUUGCAUAAUGACAAUCAACAUAUUGUUAGACAGACUAAAGACCUGUUUGGCCUAGAUGGAUCCUCUACAGAAGUUAAGACUGGCAUACGUGUUCAAAAAAAUAUCACUAACACUUGCAUCAAAUUUUCCCUAGUAGCUGUGAUUAUGCAGUUGGAAAUAGAAGGUUCAAGUUUGAGCUUUUUACUUUCAGGGCAGCAGCCCAUUUCAGGUUCUUAUCAUAGUAAAACCUUCGAACUCUUUGUUAGUCCAAUGCCAGACUUCUCAAGAAAAUAAGUUAUUCCAGAAACCAAGCCAAACAAGUAUUAGGAGUUACAGACACUGUUCCAAAUUCACAACAUACUUCAACUAUUAGAAAGAACAAGAAAAGAAUAAUUGAAAAUAAUAAUGAUUGAUUUCAAGGCAAAAACAAAACAGCUUACGCAGUGGUCUCUUGUCCACCACCCUGUGUACCAGUGCUAAAGAAGAUCCCUGCAGGUUUUCCAGCAAGCUGUUGGGUUCUCCACAACCCUCCGGUGGCAUCAAGGAAUGCUUUGAACUGUGCAGCCAUCAUCCCAAACCUAGUAGGGAAUCCGAAAAUAAUCCCAUCGGCAUCCACAAGUUCAUUUGGUUUAAUAAUGGGCACAUCACUCUUUGCGGGUGCACCCAUCUUUGUAAGUACUUCUUCUGGAAGAGUUUCAGCUACCUAUUAAACCAAAAAGAUAAGAUUACUGUACAAAGUUUAUGCACCACAUAUGCGUUUUAUGACACUUGCAAUUCAAUUGGCAAAAUCCCAUCAUAGAAUGAGAUGCUGCAAAAUCUUUGGAUACUUUCAUUUUGGUGAAAAUAGGGCUAGAACAUCAAGUUAUCCACUUACAAUAAGUGGACUGAAAUAGUUAUUCCAGUUAAACUGACUAAUUCUAGAAUAACCAAGGAACAACUCUUCCUGCUACCCAGUAAAAUACUAUUGUCACUUGCAUUAUCCCAACUUAUUCCUGUUAUCUUUGCAGUUAUACCUUAUUAUCCGUGCAAUCAUUACAAUUACUGUCUAAUGUCUUGAAGUUAUCACUAGACAAAGGGAUAACCCAGGGAUAAAAUUUGUCCCUCUACAAUCUAUCCUUGAAACAAACUCUGCCUAUGACAACAUUAAGUUUCAGAUGUCUAACAAAAAGGAAUGGAGAGAUGUUGUAAGAGAAAAAAAGUUUUGGCUCCUUGAAGAAGCUAGCUAGAAAAGUUUUUCAUAGUACUAUCCAGCGACCACCAUAUUCAAGAAGAAAUGAGUGAUGCCUAGAAUUCAUUAGGUUAAACUAAUUGAGGACAACAACCACAGCUUUGUCAUGUUCCCUGCUUCAUACCAGAGGGAAAAUGGUUUAGAAUAUUUAGGAAAUUAAUCCCUGAACAAGCGGUGAUAGAUGAACAUCGCAAUUGAUGAACCUAAAUUUUAAAGGUAUAACUUCUCUUGUCGAGAAAUGAUAGUUCAACCAAGUAAAUAUCCCUGUAACAUUCUGGUUCACUCCAAGCACUAAGAGUUUUUUUGCCCUGGGUAAUGCUUGUGUAGAAAUUCUGCUUCAAUGAAGCAUAAAAAUCUCCACAACAGCUUCACAUUGCACUAGAAGAAGAAGCUUCCAAUUGGAGCUUCUGCUUUUGGAGCCAAGAAGCUCAUUGCAAAUUCCUGCAGUAGUAGAAGUUUCAGACUUUUUGCUUGUCAGGCGCAUGAUUAUUGCUUCUUCUCCAUAAGCUAAAAGCUUAGUUUAUGAAUAUCUCAAUAGAGCACUUUGAUAGUCUUGGAGAGAUCCAAACCACACAUCAACAGUAUAUAGUUAGACUCAUUAAGCUAUACAAAGGUCUGCUGCAACCAUAACAAACCUGCCACAGUUUAGCUUCUACUCCUACGACGGAUGAGGCACCUUUUUUUAUCUCCUCUGCAAGCUUCUCAACAUGCCCAUACAUAGAGUAGUACCUGUAGAAGUAUAUGUAAAAACAUUAUUGGAAUUAACUAUUUUGAUAAGCUCUUUUAGUAGCAAACAGGGAUGAGCAUUUGGCACAGGUACGAAGAUUCCGGAGUAAACAAUUCUAACAAAUCUUUUUAGCAAUAAACAGGGAUUACCAUUUGGCAAGCAAAAGAGAAUGACUUUGGACUCAACAUCAUACCAUAUCUUUUGAUCAUCUUACUGAUGGAUGUUUAUCUCAACCAAUGUUCAAAAUUUCAGUUUUGGUUUCCAUUUCUCCUGAACUCCUAAAUGGCCUUGGAAAACAUUUUACAUAAAUACCUUUUUUACUUUUACAAAAAUGCCUCUCUUAAAAACAACUGCACAAACAAAACAUUAGUAAUAUUCCGGGUAACCGAUUCAUGUGAAUCAGAUGCACAGUAAUCCGGCAAUUACUGUUAGUUCUAGAUUCCAGGAACCAAAUAAAACACAAGCACAAGGGUGUUAUCUGAAGAAACCUGCACAUUCAGGGGAUUCAAAUGAAAAUCUACAGGAUAUAUGACAGUAGGAAAUUUCAGGUAGGGAAUCCACAUCGAAACAGUAAAGACACAAUAAUAUCAACAUGAAGCAAUAAAAAUAGAGGUAAAUAAAAGUUGAAUAUGAAAGGACAUCAAAUAUAGGCCCCCACCAUUAAAUCGCGAACGUUCUAGAUACAUUGUAUUAAUUAGAGGGUACAAACCUACCAAGUCGAUAGAGAGAUUUGAGUUUUAAAAUGUCCAACAUAUCCAAACAGCUAAAUCACAUAAAGAAAAAGCCAAAAGAUUCAUGCUCCUUUUUUUUCGUCUUUUUGGAAUUCUUUACUAAUUAGUACACUUUGGUGGUGGCCACUUGAUUAUCUGAGAAUAAUGGUAGGAAAUUUUGAGAGGGUAAAUCGUAAUUAUAAUUAGUUAUUGCUUUAUCAAGUAGCUUCAAAUCACAAAAAAUGUAAAAGGUUAUUCAAAAUUUGAAACCACCUGGAUCAAAUGCAAAAGUACAAAACAAAGAGAAUCCAUGGGAAACUUACACACUCUCAAUUGUUUCAAACAUCAAAAUGAUGGAUAUGUUACUUACAACCGAAAAAAAAAAAGAAAAAGAAAAAGAAAUUGUAUGAGACCCCCUCAACUAGAAACCAAUUCAAAAAGACCUUUCAACUUUUUUUUCUUUGGACUGUAGCCUUUAAACCUGUAAUUGCUUUAAUUCGAGCUACUUUUCUUAUUUCAAUUAGAAAUUUGUUAAACUUAAUAACUCGAUUAGCUAUCAGUCAUUAACAGUUAACGCAAUCUGCAUAUUGAUCACUCAGAACAUGUUCAAUAUAUAAAAAAGAAAUUAAAAAUACUGUUCUCUUAUAGCCUAAGUUUCUGGAGAAUAAUAUUAUUUCCUGUUCUUUAAUAUGGUAUUAAAGCAAAAAGUCCUGAGUUCCAGUCCCCUAGCAUUAUUAAUUUCUCUUCGGCCUAUCAAAAUAUCUCGAGUCCAGAUCUUAAAAAAAAAAAGAAAAAGUAUUGAACAUAAAAACUAAAAAGAAAAAGAAAAGAAAAAAAAAAAAGUAUUGAACAUAAAAACUAAAAAGAAAAAGAAAAGAAAAAAAAAAAAGUAUUGAACAUAAAAACUAAAAAUAUCGUUCUCUACCUACCUGCUUAACCUUUUGGAAAAUACCGAUUCUUUCACAUUCUUUAGCAGAACGGUUAAAACACAACGAACCAUUUUUCAAAUUAAUUGAGAAAAAAAAAUCAUUAAAUCGAAAGCUAAAUAGUUAAGGGAUCUACUUCAAAAUGGCAUAUAGUUGACGGGAUCUACGUACAUUUUAACAAAAAACAAAAAAAGCAACAACACAAUGUGAUCAACAGAGAAAUGGUACUACAUAGACAUAGAUCAACACAGAGAGUGCAACAUGCAGAGAUUUCAGAGGUGGGUAUUGAGAAUGCUCACACAAUAUAGACUUUGGUCGCCAUUAAUGGGGAUUAGAAGCUCGGAUCGAUCCCCCAAAUCCAAAUCUCAAAGAGAAAAAAUGAGUAGAGAUUUAAAGAAGCUCCUCUUUUUUUCUUCUCUUUUUUUUUUUUUCCUUUUCUUUUUUUGAGCUUGUAUUUCUCAGCGGAUGGAGAGUUGGGUUAUUUAUAGAGAGGAGUGAGAAAGGAUGGAUGGGUUUGACUCGAGAGGUGAGAGUUGAAUUUUGGAGAGAGCCCCCCUCAAGGCCUCAACGCAUCCAUUUUCCCAAUAAAUAAAUAAAUAAGUAAAUAAAUAAAAUUAAAUGAGAGCAAAAUAAUUGGGGGUUACUAAAAAAAAAUAGAUGGAUUGGUGAGUGCUCGUUAAAUGAAUAUUUUAAUUGGGGGUUUGUUGUUGAUGUCAUCUCCACCGUCAGCCUUCAUCAUGCUUCGUGAACAGCUGCUUUUAGAUUCGUGAAAUCAUGUCUGAUUGGCGAUGGAGAAUGGAAGGUGGAGAUGCUAUGUUAAGUUGUCCGAUGGGAUUGCCUGGUCCGAUCUUUCGAAUGAACAAAAUUUAAAUACUAAAUAUUAUUAAUAUAUUAAACUAUGGGAUAAAGUUUAAAUUGCCCUAUGUGAUUGUAGCCUAUUUUUUACUUUUACAAAUUGUAGUUUAAAAAGUUUACUUUGUCCCCCUGUGAUUUAGCUUAUUUUUACUUUGCGACCAUGUGGUUCAAAAAAUUGCACUUUAUCUUACUGUGUAGCGUCACCAUGUAGUUUUUCAAAAAUCUUUAUUUUCUCAUCCUAUUUCAUGUAUUUUUUAAAAAAAUAAUUAUACCAUACAAGGAUAAAGUCAAACUUCUUGAACUCUAGAGAAUGAUAAAAUAAAAAAUGAACUAAACUACAAAGGAAUAAUUUGAAGUUUAUCUAAAUUAUACCAUUGAAAAAAAAUAGUAUUUAGCAGUGUCGAUCAUUCAUACAAAUACUCAAUUAAAGUCUACUGUACUUCCAAAAGCACUAUGCUUAUGAAGGGCUAGGAAUUUUGUUUUAGAAUUUAGGAUGUGAAAAUUCCUUUUCUUGUUGAAUAAAAAUAUUAAUUAACAUCUUCGUUUAAGUUAGAAACUAAUUGUCGUUUCAUCUUUUUUUCAACCAAGCCCCUACUCUCAUUUAAUUUUGAAAGUUUGGAUUUCAUACUUGAAUUUUUAGAGAUCAAUGAUUGUUUUACGUUAUUCAACAGUUCUAAACUUUGAUGUACCAUGCAUUUUACGAGAUUGUUCAUUUUUAACUAUCCAUUUUAAAAUCACUCAAUUACUAGAUGGAUAAUGUUGAAAAUUUAAAAGUUCAAAUAUCAUAUCUUAAAUAGUUUUAAUCACAUUUUACCACGUCAAUCAUGAAUUUAGAUGUUCUAUUAUCGACAAAAACAAAGUGAAAAUAUUAGAGCUCCAUACUUUCAGAAAUUUAAUGUUUCUACACAACUCUGUAUACGAUGAUAAAUUAAUUUAGUAAAUACUUACAAAUCUGAUUAGAUUACAAAAAUCUAAUGUUUAAAUUAGAUAUAUUAACAGAACAUCCAAUAAAGUGGUUCUUCAAUAAUAUAUUUAACACAAUCAUUUUGUUUAAAAUUGUCCAACUAUAAUUAUUGAUAUAAGGUAUCCAACUGACGUUUAUCAUACGUACAAAUGAAUUUUAUUUAACAUUAAAAUAUAAAAAAUAAAAUUUUUUUCAUGUAUUAUGUUAUUAGUCUUUUCAUAUUAAAAUGUAAAAUUCCUUCUAGCUAGAUAUAGCUAUUUUUGUGUAGGCGUUACGGCGAGAAUACAUAACACCGGAGCAUGGAACACGACAUGAUUCGGACGCGGCAACUCAACAGCUUCAAAUAAAGUAGGAUAUGAACACAACAUUGCUAAUAAAAUAUAAUAUUAUUAAUGUAAAUAUUAUAUAUUUACUAGUUGAGUGUAUAUACAAAUGCACGUACCAAUUAUUUAGUUGUUCUUUCGGUAUCAUAUUUAUCCAAAUAUUUAUAAUAAAAAUUUAAAUUUUAAAAAAGUAGAUUCAUCUUUAUCUUAUUAGAAAAUAUCUAUUAUAUUCUAACUGAAAUUUGAAUGAUUGCUAUCAACUAUAAUUAUACACUAGUGUAGCGACCCGCACGAUGCAGCGGAUAGAUAAUAGAAGCAAAUUUUUAAAAUUUUAAUAAAAUUUAUAUUUACAGUUUAUAGGAAGCUAUACCAUGUUAAGCACAGUUAAUUUGCAUGACUAAAUUUAAUUGUUAAAAAAAUAAAAUUAUAGCUAGAAGCAUAUGAAAUACAUAAAUAAUAACUUAACGUAUCUGGCUUAAGAAAAUUUUAGGUGGGGUCUCAGGCUCCAGUCUCCACAUCAUACUUUUUAAUCUACGAAAGGAAUUUUGCCCACAACAGUGUCUACUCAAAAAAAUGGUCAUAAGAUGAAAAUAAAACAAAAAACAUCAAUCUUGAAAAAACUAAUACUUUUUUGGAGCACUUCUUUUACUCAUCCAAAUCUCAUACAUCUUCUUAAUUUUCAGCUGGUAGUUGCUUCCCACGCCGAGUCACUUCUGGAUUUUCAUUGUAACCUAUGAACAAACACCUCAUCUGCAUCACCAAACUGCUAUAUCUAAACUGACUCAGCCUUGCCAUCACAUCAACCACAGAAAUUCUAAUUCUUAAACAAUUUGAUUUAUCAAAAAGUUCCUGCGAUUCUUGAGAAGGAGCUCCCGCGCAACGUCCCCGCAAAGAGGAGGCUAGGACGCCGCUCCCCUCGGCCCAGUUGUGGGCGCGCGUGAGCCGCGCGAGGAGGCAGCCGAGGCGGUGGCGGUUCACGGCGAGUGAGGGCUCCGGCGCAGACCGGCUCUGCGAGCACUUAUAUGAGCCGCGACUGGACUUUACAGGACGAUACUUUUUGAAGGAGACAACGUUCUUCGCAUGCUCUUCUUCUUCAUCAUCCUCAUAAUCUUUGUUAACACAAUGAGAUAGAGAGAAGGAGAUGAGUGUGGGGUGAGAGAUUAGAUGAUAAUAUUUUUUUUUUCAUGGAAAAUAACAUGUCAUGCAAAAAAAAAGGAGGUGGGGGGAUUAAUGGCGGAGAGGAGUGGAUUGGAGUUACAAAGCUCACUAAUUGGUGGAAUAUGAUGUAUUUAAUUAAAUGUGGAGAGGUGAAGGGUUGAGCAUUUAGAAUGGAGAAGAAACUAAUUGGUGAAAUAUGAUGCAUUUAAUUAAAUGUGGAGAGAUGAAGGGUUAAGCAUUUAGAAUGGAGAAGAAACGAAGGAAAGAAAAUACAUUGCCUCAUGAAUUGGAACCCCAAAUUAGAAAAGGAUAUAUAUCAGCAAAGUAUGGCGCAAAUCGUUUCCGAUCCCAUACCUGCGAACCAAAAUAAUAAUAAUAAAAAGACUUAAAUUCAACUAAAAGAGAAUUAGGGAUUAAGAAAUAGAGCAACUGAAACAGAGGAUUGAACACAAAUUCAAGAAACAAAGCAUAAAUUGAUACAAAAAUUAAUGAAGAGAUCACACAUGAUAGGAUUUUUAGGGCAAAGACUGACACGUGAGGAGGAUUGAAAACCUGCAAAUCUUCGACACGGAGGCCGAGAUUGAGGGAGAAGAGUUGGGAGCUAGGGUUAGAGUUCGACUCACCCGACAUUGGCGUCGUUGUCAGUCGUGGUGGAGGAGGCGGAGGCGGAGGCUCAGGCGGACAAAAGGUGCUGGGCCGCUGCCUCUGUCCGCGGCGGAGAGGAGAGGUGAAGGGUUGAGCAUUUAGAAUGGAGAAGAAACGUAAAUUAAAAAAAAAUGAAAGCUUACCACGUCAUCAUUUUACAUUGAAAAUUCAUAUAAGAGUAUAGAUUUCUACCAUUUUUUAAUAUAUAUUUAAUAUUUUUAAAUAUUUUUGGAAUUCAGACAAACCAAAAUUUAAGUAUGUGUUUUAAACUAAAAGUACUAAAAUUAUAAUUCACGUUUAAUUUUAAAUUUAAAUAAUUUUGAUUCACUUUAUUUAAAAGUUUUUAAUUAACAUUAAUUCAAAUUUGAUAUCACAAAAAAGUUAUAGAAGUUCUCUCUAUUUUAGCCUAUUAUAUGGUAAAUCGUCAACAACGACUAAACAUCUAAUAAACUAGGAAACCUAACUCUAAAGUAAUUUAAAAGUUUUAAUCAUAAAAAACUGCAUGUACAAUCAAAAUAGGUCAUCAAAAUCAACUUAUUAUCGUACCUACGUGGUGGCCAAUGACAAGUUACCAACUGAUACAAAAAUUGAAAAAAAAAAAAUGAGUUACCAACUAAGUUCUGUCUGGCAUUACUCUCGCGCGGCUAAUUAAUGUUAAACCCAGCGACGCAAAAAGAUCUGAAUUGAUAGAGUUUUCACUUCUAUUCACUCUAAAUGAGACGAUAAGUGUGAGUCAAAAAUAAAAAAUAAAAUAAUAUGUUCUAAAUUCGUCUUUAUCCGCCGAGAAAAUGAAAUGUAAAAGUGGAGAUGCCUUCGUUUCUUUGAUCUGUUUGGAUUUGUAAAACAUUCGCUGAAAAUCUCCUUCUGUUCCGACUCACCCAGAAUAAAACGGUGAGUGAUGAAAAAAAUAAUAAUAAUAUAAAAAUUAAUAUGUUUUAAAUUUUUUGCGACUUGUCUGGAAAAAAUAAAUAAGAAGCAGAACGCGUUUGCAACCCAAGCGAUGGAGGCGGCCGCUGCAGGAAGAAGUCCGAAUCUCAAAGUCAGAGAGAGCGGUUGCGCUCCACAUUCGAGACCUUCAGCUUGCAGCCGACGCAUUCGACAUUUCGGCCGCGAAGCCGUUGGUCGACUAACCACUGCUCGCCACCUCGGACGACCGGCUGACGUUUUCCUUACCAAAGCAUCACGUAGAACGCGAGAUACGGCUUCACUUUGAACUUCAGGUAAAAAUGUACCAAGGCCCCCCACCUCUAGCAGUUGCUAAAUUUACCCCUUCAACUGUAAUUUUUUGAAGUAACACACAUUCUAGAGAAAUUCGUUUAAUUUUCAGAUAGAGAGAGAAUAACUCACUUUCUCCAUUAGCACAUUAAAUUUAGAAAGUUUAAUUUAGACCGUGGAAUAUAAACUCAGUUCAUUCAUAAUUUAAUUUAUUGUAAAAUUUGAAGGUUAAUUACAGAACCAUCAUCAGCGAUCUAAGAAUAUGUGUAUCAAUCUCUAUAAAUCGAAAUCGGCUAAGUGUAAAAAAAUAAAAUAAAAUAAAAAAACAAAACAAAAACCCAAACAACAAUGAGAUUGGCUUUUCUCGAAAAUAUAUAAUCCAAUUUUUUGCGAAAUUUUACAUAAGAAUGUUAAAGAUAUGUCUUCUUUUUUAUUGAUUUGAUUCAUACACCGGAUUUAUGGAAAAAUAAAAAGGAUCUCAUAAGAAUUUAUUUUGGUGGAUCCUAAUUUAAAUUGGAAUCCUAGGUGGACUAAGAUUGAUUUUCAUAUAAGACUCUAUAUUCAAUAAUCACAUUGAAUUAGAGUAGGAUUGAGCCAAAUCCCUCUCUAUAUAUAUACAUGCAUAUGCAUGUAUAGCUGGGUGAGGCGUGUGGAUAAAUUAAUUAGCAUUUACGAUCCGGCUAAUUAAUGCACGGCACCUCCUGUGGCCAUACGGACGGAAGAGAGGCCAAGCUUAAUUAAUUAGGCACCCGGCCUUGUGACCGUACGGUUCUUGAGGGGGUUCAGAGGCUUAAUUAAUUAGCACCCCGGCCAUAUGGACCAUGCGGUUUUUGGGGUGCAUGGAGGCUUAAUUAAUUAGCAUGCGGCGAAGCUAAUUAAUUAAGGUGGCCGGUUCUCUUCAUGUAUAGCAGUACAGUAGCAAGAGAAGAAGAUGCGCAGUAGCACGCAUGCGACGGAUUGACAUUGGUGGCGGAGCGGCGGUUCUCAACCAAUUGCCUGAGCGGUUCGGAUUCUUCGAAACAACGGCAUAAAGGAAUUUGGUUAGAGUUUCUAUACUUCUCUAAUUUGGUCUUCUCGGUUUUACGAAAAGCUUUUUCGGUAUUUUUCUUGGAGUUUUCGUUGGAACAAGAAAGGUGGGAUUCACCAUAAGGUUCUUGGUUUUUUAUCCGGAGAAGACAUAAGGUGUAAGCUUGUACUUCUAUUUCUUCAUAUAGUGGAAUACAUCUCUCUCGCUCUCCCCGUGGACGUAGGCAAUUGUCGAACCACGUAAAUCUUGGUUUCUUCUUUCUGCAUUUAUUUCUUUUACCGUUCGGUCGAUUUUCUCUAUUUUUCGUGCAUCUUUGUUGGUAACACAUGACGGACGAUCCAUCCGGUUCCCAACAAAGCAAAUAAAUCCUCGUUUUAAUGAGGGAAAGAGCUAAACAAUCAUUUAGGUCUCUCUGAAAUUGUCCUUCACCUUCAAUUUUUUGAAUUGAGGCUUUCUCAAUUUUUGAAUAAUAUUUGUCAACUAUAUUAGAAAUUUUAUUUCAUUUACAAGUGCUCAUUUUUUAACAAAUAGAUCCUGAUCAUUUCAAUGGCCUCCGGAUCAAAACAAAAGUAUUCUAUGGAAUCUAUUGUUCUAUUUUUUUUUUCUUUUUUAAACAUAAGCGCUGUAACGAUUCAACCCGUUAGUAAUAAUAACUCGUUGGAUCCAAACCACCAGUCAAAAUGAUUUAGCCCAGUUAUUAUUAUUAGUGUGUGUUGGAACAAAUUCCACACAGAAAUCUGAUUGUGAUUUAAAACUAACCAAAUUUUGUGAUAAAAAUAAUAAACUCAACUUACAGAUAAUUGCUAAAUCCAAAUAGAAAAUUUGAUCGAUCCGGAAGCGUGCGAGGCACUGCCCUAAGGCGUAUUUCCGUCCUUACAUGCGGGAUUAACCGGAAACACCGCCCCAAGGUACGACCGGAACUCCUCCUCUUACGAGCACGAUCGCGGAAGAGGUUGACGGAGCUUUUUUCAACACUCGGUGAAGAGAUAAUAGAAUGAAAAAAAAAAAACAAGUCUCUCAAAAAAUACUUCUCACUAUUGUAGUUGUAUCACCUCAUGUGUAUAUAGCCCAUAGUAUUAUUAGAGACACAGGAGAGGUAAGUAUAUAAAGGCAAAAGCAUGGAACGUUGGAGCCCAACGUUCCAAUGCAUGCACUAAUAAAUAUCUUAAUUAGCGAAAGGAUCUGCGCAGGAUCCCAACGCACGGAGCGGCUGCAAUUGAGGCACCAAGCUCCCAACGCGUGAAACUGCGGCCGUUCCUCUAAUUAAAAUUAAUAAUAAAACAAAUAAAUAAAUAAUAAAAUUUUGGAUUUUAUCCAACAAUCCCCUACAAAAUUCAAAAUUUUCAAAAUGAAAAUAAAAAAUUAAAUAACAAAGAAAGGAAAUCAAUUAAUCAUCGAGUGUUUAUACUAUGUAAUAGGUAAGGUGUCUUUAAGGACUUAACCUCACUUAGUGUUAGCAGUUUCCAUCAGAAGGAAUCGGAGUGAACUAGGUUUUAAACUACGUUUCUUUGUCCCUGACUUCAACUACCACACACACAGUACAGAAUUCUCCGUCGUGGGUCUGUGCGUUAAUGGCCAUGCACAGUACCUUGAUUUUUCAUAAGAGUUUCUAUGUAUAACCCAUUCACAUAGCCGCGGCCACAUACAGAUACUCUUAUAUAGGUGGUUUCCUCCAAGGAUGUGUGUAGAGUCACAUAUCGCGAAAUUAUCGCCUUGGAUCCUAUUAAGAACUAUCAGCUCAACCUAAUCCACUACACAGAACACUACUCACCAUAGGGAAGGGAUUGAAGCUAAAGCUCCUGUAAAUAAACUGUAAAAAGUGCUCUUUGGACAGCCUAACAGCUUGUUUUUACCACAUUGAACCUUCUUCAAGAGAUCUCCUAUCACAAAGGUUGAGUUCCCACUGCAGGAAGGCCCUUUACGGGCAAAAUCCCAUCCCCCUCGAUGACUCCAGGACCUUAGUCCUAUUCAGGCGUUUCGUCAAGCAAUCUGCAAGAUUCUGAUCAGAUCUGAUAAAACUCAAAUAAAUAACAUUACAAAAAAUAACUAUCUAAUAAAUUUAUGCCUCAAACUAAUUUACCUGCCAAUCUUAGAAUUUACAAAUUUGUUUUUAUGAUGAACACUAGGAUAAAAUUACGAGAGCAAUUAUAAUAUCAAAAUUUAUCAAACUGAUAAAAUAGCUCCCCCCACAAGUUCUGUGAUACACCAAAACUUAAAAUUAUGAAAUUAAUCAUGUUUAAUAUAGUUUGGUUCAUCAGCAAAUAUAUGAUCCAAAUAAUUAUAAAAGUUUGAUUUUUUUAAAAAAUAUUUUUUAUUAUUAUUUUUUUUUUACAAAGAGUUUAAACUGUAGCAGAUUUUUCUUUUAAAUUCGUGCUAGUAUAAAAAAUUACUGUAGCAUAAAAACCUAUAGCAAAACAAUAAAAUUUUUUUUUUUAAACCAAAUAAGUUUUACCAAAGAAUUUUACUGUAGCAAAAUUCUAAAAUUGCAUACUAAUAAAAUUAUUUUUACUGUAGCAAAAUUAUAUUUUUUUUUCAAAAACCACAAAACAGUAUAUGCAUUUGCACCGGAAAAUUUUUUACUGUAGCAUUUCUUUUUAACAAAAGAGCUAUAAUAAAAGCAUUUUUAUUUUUUUUAAAUAAAAUAAUUACCAAAUAAAAUGUAAUUUAAACAAUAAAUUAAAUAAUAUGCAUUUACAAGUUAAAGUGCUAAUUCCGAAAAAUUUAUAUUUGAAUGCCAAUCAUACAAACAAAUUAACAAAUAGAUUAUAUACAUAUAAAAUUAAAAUUAAUUUAAUACGAAUUAGCACUCGUUAGAUUUCAAUCACAAUCAAAUUGGAAUACGCCUUAGAUUGUUGGAACAAAUUCCGCAUAGAAAUCUGAUUGUGAUUUAAAACUAACUAAAUUUUGUGAUAAAAAUAAUAAACUCAAAUUACAGAUAAUUGCUAAAUCCAAAUAGAAAAUUUGAUCGAUCCGGAAGCGUGCGAGGCACUGCCCUAAGGGGUAUUCCCGUCCUUACGUGCGGAAUUAACCGGAAACACCGCCCUAAGGUACGCCCGGAACUCCUCCUCCUACGAGCGCGAUCGCGGAAGAGGUUGACGAAGCUUCUUUCAACACUCGGUGAAGAGAUAAUAGAAUGAAAGAAAAUAACAAGUCUCUCAAAAAUUACUUCUCACUAUUGUAGUUGUAUCACCUCAUGUGUAUAUAGCCCAUAGUAUUAUUAGAGCCACAUGAGAGGUAAGUAUAUAAAGGCAAAAAGUAUGGAACGUUGGAGCCCAACAUUCCAAUGCAUGCACUAAUUAAUGUCUUAAUUAGUGAAAGGAUCUGCGCAAGAUCCCAACGCACGGAGCGGCUGCAAUUGAGGCACCAAGCUCCCAACGCGUGAAACGGAUGCGGCCGUUCCUCUAAUUAACAUUAAUAAUAAAACAAAUAAAUAAAUAAUAAAAUUUUGGAUUUUAUCCAACAAUGUGUCCAUCACUUAUAAACCGAUCACACUCUUCAACAUUAUUCGAUGUGAGACUAUUGGGAUGUCACAUACUUUUCUCGUUUAGGCACUGAUGUUCUCGUCAACCCGAUCUCAUAAGCCCUGGUGUCCUUGUUAGCCCGACCCAAUCAUUUAUACAAUCUUAGAUUCACCAAACGAUGUGAGAUCCAUCUCACAUUUCCGACUCGUUAUUAGACUCUGAUACCAAAUAUAACACCCAACUUCCAAAGGGGUUUUAGCGGUUCGGGUCGUUACAUUUGGUAUCAGAGCCUAAUAACCAAUCGAAAAUGUGAGAUAGAUCUUACAUCGCCUGGUGAAUCUGGAACAAUGUGUAUAUAUGAUUGGGUCAGACUGACGACGACGUCAGGGCUCAAAUGACGAGAGUAUGUGACACCUCAAUAGUCCCAUAUUGGAUAAUGUGGUAGAGUGUGAUGGAUUUAUAAAUGACGAACACACUAGUGAUAAUAAUUGGAUUUAAGUAUUUGAGGCCCAACUAGUUAUUAUUGCUAGUAUGUCAGGUCGUUAUAUUUGGUAUCAGAGCCUAAUAACCAGUUGAAAGUGUGAGAUAGAUCUCACAUUGCCUGGUGAAUCCGAGACUAUAUAUGUAUGAUUGGGCCUAGUUGACGAGGAAGUCAGGGCUCAGACGAUGGGAGUAUGUGACAUUCUAAUAGUCACACAUCGGAUAAUGUGGGAGAGUGUGAUGAAUUUAUAAGUGACGGACACACUAAUAAUAAUAACCGGACUUAAGCAUUUUCGGCCUGUACAACUAGUUAUUAUUGCUAGUGGAUCCGACCGUUACAAGCGCUACGUGAUUGAAUAGCUUAAUUACAAUUUAUAUGGUAGCAACAUGGCAGAACAUUUUCUAAACAAAAAUGUUAUUUUGCAUGCGUUAGAAGCCAAACAAACAAAAAUUUUAAAAUAAUUAGUGGCAAAUUUGAUUAAAGAAUAAAAUUUGUGUUCGAAAAGAUGGUAAGAACAGGACAAUAUUGAUACUAUACAUUGACUAAUUAUAAAGCACCAACUCAUUCGAACAAUGCUAGUGAUAUGUAUGUCACUGUCACACCUUAAUACACAAGUCUAAACCAACAAAUUGAAGCUUCAAUUUGAACAGGUCAAAAUCUGAUUAAAUUUGUUACCUAUAAUCCUUCAUGCAAUUAAUCAUUCCAAUUUGAGGCAUAUUACAGCCGGAUUGGCAUUUUUGCCGAUCUUACAAUCAUUUUGGCUUUAUUAUAGAGUGUAAUGUUAUUCAUUAAAGUACUGUUUGAGUAUUAUUUUUGGAGCAACACAAUCUAUAAACUCCUAUAAAAUCCGUUUCCUUUUGUCCACGUGGCGAUAUUAGUUUAACUUAAUUUUUGGUGGGGCCUACAUGCCAUCUUAAACUACUUAAUUAUUGAUUAGAGGGGCUCACAUGGCAAAUUUUUUUUUCCUUACUGUUCUUUCCAUUUAAUUGCUUCAAUCAUCACUAAUUAAUUGGUUCGAGUCGCUCGCCCCUCUAGGCGCCGCUCUGGCUCCUUCGCUCGCCCCUCUAGAUGCCGCUCCGGCUUCUAAUCACCUGGACGGAAAAUUGGGCCGAGUUCAUUGUCGUUCUUCAUUCCCGACGGUUAUCUCCUUCACAUUUAGUUGCUUCAGCUGAUUCCCAUUUAAUUGGUUCAACAAACAAAUUCGUCUUCCAUCUGAUGCCGCUCGGCCCCCUUCACGCCACUCCGACUCCUGUUCCCUCUCUGGAUGGAAUAUUGGACCGAGUUCAUGGUUGGCCCUUCUUCCCGUCGCGUCGUUCCCGUUAGCGACGCUUCGUUUCGGCUUAUUGAUCCCUCCGGUCACAAAAGUGGAUCGGAUUCAUUCUCUGUGCUCCUUUCUUGCUGCCUAUAUAAUAUGCCUCUGUAAAAAAUUUAUUUGAAGCGAAAAAACUCUAUUUCUCUGCUUGUGAUUUUUUCCUUCUCUGAUUUGGUUUCAACCUUUUUAUUUUUGUUUGAAAUUGAAUUUUGCUUCUUAUUAAUUUUUAAAAAAAAAUUGAAUAAGUUUAUUUUUCCUCAGGAAAUUGACCGUCUAUGUACGUUUGACCUACAAGUGAUUGCCUCAGAAUUUGUAAUUUCUUUGCUUUAAUUUUUAUGUAUAUACUAAUUUUUUUUGCCUUCCAGUUUGUUGCUAUGAAUAAUUUAGAAAUAUAUUUCUUUUCUGGUCCUGAUCGUAAUGAUAUUAUAUAUGACAUAAUCUUAUUUUGGUUGCCAAUUUAGAAAUAUUUUUUCAACAUUUAUUAGACGAAUUGUUUUUUCCAAUGCUGCUAUUCAUAAUGUUUUUAUAUAUGAUUUGUUUGCAAAAUAAAUUGUAUAUAUGUAUUUAGUCUAUUUUAGAAUAUCUUUGCAACAAAUAAUACUUUUAUAUAUAUAUAAUAUAUAUAUUAUAUAGAUAUAUAUAUAUCAGAUAUAUAUAUGAUCUUUUGUAUUUCUCCAUUUAAUUUAAGUAUUGUUUAGAAUCAUUAAAUCAACAUUAACCAUAUUGUUAAUAGAAAUUUAGAUAACGCUAUUAUGUCCCAAGAGCGACAGUGAUUAAUUGUUCAUGUGAAAAAAAUAAUAAAUAAUAAGAACAUAAGUCAUCUAAAGUUAAACAAAAAAAAGAGCAGCAAAGCUGUAAGAGAAAAGGCAUUUCUACCUACAAUCCUUUGCAAUGUUGUUGUAAUAUAUAUAAUAUAUAAAAAUAUAUAAUAAAUAAGACCUUUAUUACGUCAUCCCGGAAUAGAUGAAAUAAAUGUGUUCUUCUUUUUAUAAAAUAACUUAUAGAAUAAAUUUUAACUUAAUAUAUCUACCCGCCGCAUCGCGCGGAUUAUUACACUAGUAGUACUUUAAUUUGAUAGAUUUUCUAGGUAUGUAAAAUAAGAAGAAAACUAAAUACAUAACAAAAUUUAGGAUCAAAAUAAAAUAAGAUAACUCACAAAGCGCCAUAGAAAAAAAAUUUCUGAUCAAUCUGCGGAAGCGAGAAGUUCAAGUAUGAUCUAAAAGUCACGAACCGAACUUGGAUAAUUUGGUUUCUCCUCCUAUCUCAGGCACUCUGCCGUAUGGUGUGAAACCGAUGGUAAUUCUUCACCAAAAUACGUAUGAGAAGAUGGCAGGACCAAUACCCCUUUAUAUAGAGUUCAGAUCAACUUCCAAUCAAAGUUUGAUUCGGAUUCUAUUUAAUUUAAAUAGAUGGGAUAAAGAUAAAAUAUAUAUACCAUAUUAAGUAGUUCUAUAUCUAUUAGAAUUAACCUUUUUCUAUAAUAUAUUCAGAUCUGAAUAUGAUUAAUUGGGCCAAAAUUUAUGGAAAUCCUAACAAUCUUCCACUUGGCUCAUAUUAAUCAUAUUUCAUGAGCGGAUUUUUCUAUAUUCCAAACUUUAUUGCGCAUUAUUGAAAACUUUGUGGUCAAAUAUCUUAGAACUCAUACUACAACAAAAAUGGUCUACAGCGACACUUUUAAAUGUCAGUACAAGUCAAAAGAAGUGCUGCUAGCUAAAUUACCGACACUUUUAAAAAGUGUUGCUAUAUGUGAGGUCGCUAGAUAUAUAGUGACAGUUAAAGAGUGUCGCUAUAAUCUAAAAAGAGUGCUGCUAAUUUACAAACACUUAUUUAAGCAUUUAGCAACCGCUGGAACUCUACCUCGUUGGCUGAGGUGGCGGAGGAGGAUGAGAGAGAAGGGCUCUUCGUCCAGGAUUUCAGUGGAUUGAGUGAGGGGAGAAGGGGAGAUGGUAAUCGAUUUUUCUUUUCUUUUUUUUCUUUUUUAUUUGUAAUCGGACCGAAUGGGCUGGGUGGAGUGGGUUGAGUAGAGGAACCUUUCAUUUUUGGUUAGAUUGGGUUUUAUAUUUAGACAUUAGUAGAUUUUUUAAAAAGUUUUGGUAUAAAUGGGACACUUACACAAAAGUGUCCCAAAUAUGUGUCCCUAUAACCUAAUUUUGUUGUAGUGCGAUCACUUGAUCUUUAGCUCAAACUAAAAAACUAUAAUGAUUAGAACUAUGGCGGUCCACCUCUACAUAUUGAAAUUUUCUUCCAUAAUUACCAUAUCAUUUUCAUCUCAUAAUCAAGUACUUUAUAUGGCACAACUUUAUAAAUGAACUUAAAACUAUAUGUCAAUUCGAAUUCGAUAACAGACAAAACUUUAUGCCUAUUAAAUUGUCCAACAUAGCUGCAUUAAAUAUUAAUUUUAUUGAAAGAAAAUAAGUAUUAUAAUUUUAUACAUCGAAAGAUCUAAUCAAACCCAUAUUUCUAACAUGAUCUGUAUAUGACCCAGGUGCCAGCCCCUUAGUUAUUGGGUCUGCAAUCAUACACUUGGUAUUGAUGUAUUCAAUUGUAACAUAACCUUCAUCUAUCUUCUUUCUCACAACAAGAUAUUUGGUGUCCAAGUGUUUACACCCCGCUGUAAUCUUGUUGUUAUUCGCAAAGGAAACCGCAGCUGAACUAUCACAGAAAAUCUCUAUUGGACGAGCAACGGAGUCGACAAUUCUUAAGUCUGUGAUAAAAUUCCUAAACCAAAUAGCUUGUGAUGUGGUCUCAUAACAUGCAAUGUACUGUGCAGCCAUAGUUGAAGGAGCAGUAACACUUUAUUUGCUACUCUUCCAAGAUAUCGCUCCACCAGCAAGUAGAAAAAUAUACCCAGUCCUAGACUUUCUGGUAUCUAGGCAUCCAGCAAAAUCGAAGUCUAAGUACCCGAUCAGCUCCAAGUGAUUUGAUCUCCUGUAUAUUAGUAUAUGAUCCAAAGUUCCCUUCAAAUACCUCAUAACCUUCUAAACAGCCUUCCAAUGCUCCAUACCUGGAUUACUUUGAUACCUGCCAAGUAAUCCAACGGCAAAAGCAAUAUCUGGACGUGUGCAUGUCUGUGCAUACAUAAGGCUACCAAUUGAGAGGCAUAGGGUAUGUUUUCCAUCUGUUCAAUUUCUAAUUGGUUCUUGGGACACUGAAAAGCAUUAAGCUUAUCCCCUUUCUGGACAGGAGCAAUAUUGGACUAACAAUUAUGCAUUUCAAAAUUUUUCAAAACUUUCUUUAUGUAGGCCUUUUGAGAUAGACCGAGUAAACCUUUAUGUCUAUCUUUUUUUAUUUCAAUACUAAGAACAUAUGAGAUCUCACCUAAAUCUUUCAUUUCAAAAUUUUGAAAAAGAAAUUCUUUAAUGUUAUUGUAACACACUAAACUUUAGCAAAUUGUAAGGCUCGAGUGAGUAUUUAUUCCAUAAAGGCUUAUUCGACCCAAUCGUACCACGUAAUCCUUUAAAAGGUAUUCUAAGUGAGUUAUUUCAGCUCCACGUAUUCUGAAGGGUCAUUGUCACGCCCCGAUCCUGAUCCUUUUGGCAGGUUCGAGCGCAUCGAACAGACGCCGAACGGACAGAGUCUUCCCUAUCCGCCCAAGGCUCAACAUCCUGUACAAAUAGAGUAUGAAUUUUGCACAAAACGGAAGCAUGCACAAUGGCUUGCACGAGGGCAAGCAAAAGCCAAUAGUGAAAGUAAUAAACUACACUUAAAAAAUUAUUUACAUUUAUGCAUCAUUUCUUCUCUUUUACAUCACAUGAUCUCCAAAUAUAAGUUCUAGCAUUGAAAUAUAAAAUAUCUUUUACAUCAUUCAUGUUCUUUUUUUUAACAUCUAUAGUUAUCAAAAUACAAAACGGUGAUGUAUAAAGAUAUGCAACUACAAAAUGGAAACCCACUCGGGAGGUCUCUAUCUAGGGCGCGAUGCCCUUACCGCGGUCGUCCGCCGGCUCGCUCGUUCCCGACUCUGUGAAAAUAGUAGAGUGAGAACUACAACAAAGUUCCCAGUGGGUUCGACAAAAACGACCACGCCGACUUUCCCACUAGGUCUAAAUCAGGCAUAAUAGAAGAAUAGAUAGAUAGCAACCAAGCUAAAGCAAAUACAGCUAAUAUGUCUGAACAAUAAAUAAUGCUAUGCUCAAUAUAGUACUCAUGAUGAAUGCAAGGUCACUGCUCAGAACCCAAUCUCUAGGCUAGCCCGUAGGUUUCACCCACAAUAGACUCACCAACUCAAAUCCAAAGUAUCGGGAAGACUACUACACCCGACGGGACCGUCCUCUGGGGAGACUACUACACCCAGUGAUGACAACUCCGAAGCACAUCGCCCGAGGGGGAGCUACCACCCUCGAGUAAGUGCUUACAGGUGAGUAUAAUCCAAUCCUUAACUAUAAGGAUGCCAAGUUCAAUCCAUUCUUUAACUAUAAGGAAGCCAUGCACUAUGACCAUUAACUCUAAGGUUGAAAUUGUCAUAAUAUCACUAUCACACCUUCACUUGCAUUCUUUACUUUCACUAGUGUCAUAUACACUACUAUGUUCUUGUACACAUGUCACACUUGUUUUCUGAGUGUUCCAACUCUAGCAUUCUCGACUCAUCAAUAUCACUUUCUAUUUCUAUGUCAAGAUGUCACAUUUAUUUACUAAGUCCACUAAGUUCUUGUCACUUGUCAUGCAUAAAUAGGGUUUUUAUAAAAUUCUCACAUUCUUGCUAGUAACUCAUAUGCAUUUGUACUCACAACAUGCAAUGAAAUGCUCACAUAUAACCCUACUAUAUAAUUUUAUACUCAAUACACAUAUGCUCAAAUAUGACACUUUAGAUAUAAAAGAAAUUCCGAGGUCUUCGGUAUGCACCACCCACCUUGUAUGGUUGCAAAGGUGUUACGGUGAAUUUCUUGAAAUUUUUUAAGUCCUACUUUUUCGCCUGCGGCAAAACGAAGCCAAAUUAGGCUUUUUCUCAAUAACUUUAUCUAGACCUUUUCGUAACGUCAAACGGAGUUAUCCCGCACAUCGGGAAUACCCCUAAUUAGAUUUCCAAGAAGUCAAUUUACCUCGAAAAUAACCGGAGGCAAAAGCCUCAAAAUCCAUGCCCUAACAAUGCCAUACAGAAUUUUCUCCUAGAUUGAUCUCAUUCCUAGGCAAAAACUAACUUAAAAUCAACUAGGAAGUAUUCUAAUAUCAUUACUAAGCCAUUCCAAGCAUCCCUAGGGCAUCUACUUUAAACCCUAGGUGUUCACCAUUAGAGCAUCUUGGGAAAACCAUGGUUUCAUGGUGAACAAAGCUCAACAAAGCUUCUAAACAUGAGAGAAGCUCAAAACUCUAAGUUCUAUAGUAAAAAUCCAAACCCUAGAUGAGUUUUUGCCCUAAACUCACCUUAGCCAAAAGCUAUCCCCAAGUCCACCUUGUAGGAGAGCCCUAAAUCUUCUCCAAGCCACCUAAAUCCAAGUUUCUCCUUUAAAUCUCCUCCAAGUCCACCUUUUACAGAGCUCUCUAGAGAGAGAAAAUAAGAGAAAUGAGAGGGAGGGAGUGAAUGGCUGUGAGAGGGAGAGAGAAGGCGUAUUGGGGUCUUAUUAGGAUGCUACAAUUGCAUUUAGACCCUCCCCAUUUCCAUAAUUGCAGUAGUUUUUAUUUUGCUGUCAAACCCAAAGUGUACAGGUACACGGAAUGUUGUACCGGUACAUUUUCUGCGCAGAGGCAACCCGAAAGCAAGGUUCUCGGUUUCGUAGCAUUUGUACCGAUACACUUUCAAAAUGUACCGGUACACUUUCAAUUUUUUCCUCAAACCCAAGAGCUUAUUCUUCUCGGGCUGCAAGGCUGUACCGAUGACAACUCGAUGGUUGUACUGUACACUUUGCCCAGAAUGCUGGUUUUGCGCCGUUUUCGAUUCUAUUUUUCGCCGAUCGAUGCUAAAAUCUUUCUAACACCUCUUAAACUCAUUUUUAGCCCUUCCAACUUUGUUGGAAUGCUAAAUGAAACUUGUCCAACUAUUUCUUUCACAUUGUUCACUUUUAAAUCGCGCCGAGCAAUGCUAAAACUUGCUUAACACUCUCGGGACUCGACUUGACCCUUCCAACAUUGUUGGAAUAUCAACCGGACUUUGUCCAUCCAUUUCUCUCGGCACUUUAACCAAUUUGGCUAAAGUUCGAUAAUCGCUAUCGAGGUUUCGAUACGUUACAGUCGCCGACUGUGUUCCGACCUAUAACUCGCAUCCCGAGAAGUAAAGAUUAAAACUUAACACCAAAACAUCAAAAAAUAUAGAUUUUGGAUAGCUCUUGAGUUGGACUCUACAAAGCAGAGUACCGAUACUGCAUUGAUGGAGUACCGGUACUGGAGCUGGUACCGGUACUGCCCUGUGAUGGUACCGGUACGCAGUGUAUUCUCUCGCUGACCCGAGGCUCGGGUUUGCACUUACUGCUGCUUGGUACCAGUACCCCAGUCCGUGUCACUGGUAUGCAGUGCAGUGCAGACUGCACGUUGUUGGAGGGUGUUUUUGCAAAUGUUACAACUCUAUAUAACCCCUCUACAGCCUCUUGAGGACUCGUUUGAGCCCUAGAACGUGGAGAACUCAGGUGAGGACCCUCUCCCUUGGAUUUUCUCACUUUUCUUGUGAUUUAGCCUGGUUUGAUCUCCUCUUUUUGCUUCUCUUUGCUCUAUGUUGGUUUUUCUACCUUGGAGAAGCAUUGGAUUGAGGAUUGGAGCUCAUUGAGAAAAUAUCUUCAACCCUAGCUUGUUUUUGGCUUGGUUUGGAGCUUCUAAGAAGGUUAGUAAUCUUAAUCCCUCAUUUGAUCCCUGUUUUUUUAGCUUUCUUGAGAUAAAAACCUAGAAAUGAGAAUUUAGAAAUUUAUUUGAAAAUUUUUUAUUUGUGGCUUUUGAGGCUUAAUUGAUAGGUAUAGAACCUUCAUUUGGGUUGUAUUAAAAGGGUUCUAGCUCUCAUUUGGAGUGAGAGAGAUUUUCACCAUACAAGGUGAGUUUUUGCCCUUUUCUUGGGUUGGUUAAUGUUUGAACCUAGGAGUGUUCGUUCCUUGCGUUUAACUCUCUUAGAAUUAUCUUUAGGGAGCUAGGAAGCUAGUGGGCACCUUCAUUUGCGCAAACGAAAGAGUUUCAAGGAGCUCUUGAUGGGUUUGACCUCACCGAAAUGGGUGAACUCCUCCUAUGUUGUUUUACUUGUUGUAAAAAUUAAAAUUCAUGCAUAUUCAUGCUAGAUAGAGUAUAUGUGAAUUUUAGAGUGCUUAGAAUGUCUAUGUUAUGUAUCAUGAAAAUUUGACCUCUAUAUAGUAGAGAGCUAUGUAUAUAGAAAUCAUGCAAGUGGGUGGCAUUCUCUUAUGUAACUUGGAAUCAUGUUUCAUGCAAUGAAAAUGACUAGACUAAUAUGCUCUUGGACAUUGUACUCAUUUUUGAUAUAGUGGAGAAAGAUAUCAUAAAGAGGCAUCCAACCUAGUGAAUGGUUAAACUUCUACAUGAUGACAUAGUGGUAGACCUUGGGUCACUUGUUUUAUACCAUAUUUUAGACAUGAUAACAUUGGACUUGAAAUGGAUGAUUACACUUACUUUCCAUUGUGCUCAUUCGCACAUGCUUGUGAGGGUCGCUCCCCACAAGCCGGCACUUCGAAAAUAGCCAUCGCGACAUAAGCUCACCCGUGCGGGAUUGGACGCUGAAAUGGUAUGCUGUGGGGAAGACUCAUUCCUAGGGUGGAAAUGUUGAUAACCACGGGGCCAUUAGGCACGACGCAAGCCGGACUACCCUUGUGUAGGUCCUAUAUGUUUGAAUCAAACUUGAACUAAAAUGCAAAGUGGACAUUGGACAAGUUAGUAAAUAAUGACAUUUUACUAAUGGUACUUAUGGACAUCAUGUCAUUUAUACAUAUGCAUAUUCAUGUUAGAAUAGCAUUAUGCUUGUGAAAAUUCAUGCUAAGUAGAGGCAUAGUAGUUUGGUAAGUUUAUUCCAUACUUAUCAUACAUGUUGUACAUUUCAUUUUAAAUGUUAGGACUUACUACUUUUGCCUCUUUCGCCUAGUGGUGUAUUUCGCUGAGAUCAGCGGCUUGCCCACUGGGAACUAUUGAUUAAUAGUUCUCACGCCCUCUGUUUUGUUGUUGCUAUAGAGCCAUCCACACCGGGAGAGGAUCGGGAUCGCGGAAAGGGAAUCGCAUCUAGCUAGAUAGCGAGGAGUUCUUGCGCUAGGUGGUCAUCUCUCUAUUUUUGUAUUUAUGGUAGAGAGUGAGAGUUUUUGUACCUUUGUUUAGAGACCACCAUUUUUGUAUAUCUAGCACUUAUAUUUGAGAUCUUAUAAUGUAUCUAUUUGAUGGUUUAUGUAGUUGUUUAGCUCUUUUUAUUCUACUUGCCGUUACAAUUUAGUUGUUGUAUGCUAUGAUAACCUAAUAGAUGUUUUAUUUAUCUUGCUUCUUUGUACUAUGUUGUAGAUGCCUUAUAUAUUGUAGGCAUAUGGCGGGUCUGGAUACACACCGGGCGGGCUUCCGCUGGGUCCCAGGACGUGACAGUUAGGUAAUAACCCAAAAUCAUUACUGGCAAGCAAAAUAUCAUCAACAUAAAUGACUUAAAGAAUUAUUUUACUCCCACCAACUUUUAGAUAAAUACAUUGAUCAAUAAUAUUUUCUUUAAAACUAAAGGUCAAAAUAGUUUGUUUAAACUUUAAAUAUCAUUGUUGGGAGGCCUGUUUUAGUUCAUAUAUUGAUUUCUUUAAUUUGCAUACCAAGUGCUCCUUUCCCCGUUUGCGAGAAUCUUUCAGGUUGAUUCAUAUACACCUCUUCAUAAAGAUCCACAUUUAGAAAGGCAGUUUGACAUCCAUCUGGUGUAGCUCGAGAUCAAAAUGAGCAACCAGAGCCAUAAUAAUACGGAAAGAUUCCUUUUUAGAUACUGGAGAGAAAGUCUCUUUAUAGUCAAUGUCUUCUUUCUGAGUAAAUUCUUUUGCCACAAAACGGGCCUUGUAUCUCUCUAUUUACCUUUGGAGACCCAUUUGAUUUUAUAAAUCCACUUACAUCCUACGGAUUUAAUUCCUAUAAGUAACUCAACCAGAUCACAUACCUUGUUGUGGUUCAUGAAUUCAAUCUCAUCUUUCAUGGCAUUGUAUCAUUCCAUAGAAUUACUACUAUUUAUGGCUUCGGAAAACUAAUAGGAUGAUCUAGACUCUGGCCAUUCUCAUAAAGAUAGACAAUUUAAUCACUGAAUAUAGCCGGUGUUCUCUGUCUUGAGGAUCUUCUUAAAUCUAUCUGAUUAUCCACAUGUACAUCUUGAUGUGGAUUAUUCAGUUGUACAUCUUGAUUUGAGUUAUCCACUUGUACAUCUUGACGUGAAUUAUCUACUUAUACAUCUUAAUGUGAAUUAUCCACUUGUACAUCUUGAUGUGAAUUAUCAAUGAUAGGUUCACAAUCAUUUUGUGGUUCCAAAACAACUUGUUGUUCUACUGGAAUAGGAAUCAUCAAAUCGUGAGGGACAAUAGUAGGUCUGUCAUGUACAGAAUUCAAAUGCUCUAGAAUUUCCUCAAAUUCAAUGAACUGAGGUUCAGAGCUCCCACUAAUUGCACCAUCCUCAAUAAACCAUGUUGUUUUAGUUUCUACAAUCUUUAUAGGAAGUAAUGGACAGUAAAACUUAUACCCUUUGUGUAACAUAUUGAAUCUCCGGGUUGCGAUACUAACUUUGAUCUAAUUGAUCAAAGUGAGGCUUGAGCGGGUUAUUUGGUGUUCCUGAGCAAUUCUAGAUGCGUGGGGAUGAUUGGAAGUGAAUUUUAGAGGUAUUUAGAUGUUUCGGAGCAAACCGGCGUGAAAACGGAUUUCCGAAGCUGUUCUGCUAUUAAAGUGCAGAACUGGCACUGGGUACCAGUACCAGGUCGAUACAGUACCAGUACCCUGCCAGCGAGCGAAUGUAUAGCGUACGGGGUCCGGACAGCGCGGGCUGGUACCGGUACUAAAUCCUGAGUACCAAUACCUAAACUAGAAUCUGGACUGAAUUGUAAAGUUUGAAGGUGUUUUGUUGGGGGGCUUAUUUGCUAUUAUACACGUCUAUAUAUGAACCCCACCUUCACACAUGUCCCUCCUCAUGCAGGAACAUCUCGUUUCCUUCUCCCAACCCUUUAUCUCUUCCUCUUCUCUCUCUAGAAACUCCAAUCCAUGGUGGAAUUGAUGGGAUUUGAGUUUGGAUUUUGAUGGUUUUGGUAGAGAAGAAGCUUUUGGUGAAGGAGGAGUUUUUGGAGCAAGAAGCUAAGGUAGGUUUUUUGUGAUUUCUUGUUAGGGUUUGUUUUUAACUCCCUAAUUGUGUUAGUUUUUCUUUUCUCUUGGAUUUCUAGAGCUUUUUAUGCUAUGAAAUCGUAGAAAAGCUAUAUCUUGGGUGUCUUGUUGAACCCUAGGGUGAAAGUUUGGGAUUUUGUUAUCUAUGAGAUUUUACUUAGGUUUGAUCUCUUGUAGCCCCAAUUGGAGUAGAAAUCGACGCGUUGGAAGACUCAGAUUGAGAUUCCGACAAGUCUACGCCAAGUUAUUGAGAAAAUACCUCGUUUCGGCUUUGUUUGUCGCAGAGCAAGGGUAGUGAUUGUUCAUAAAUCGCGAAAAGUGAUUUUCUCGCAUUCCGGCAUCACUUGGAGGUGGGUGGUGCUAUCCGAAGUCAUCGAAUGACCUAUUAUGUCUAUGUCAUUUUUCUUGAGCAUACAUGUAUAUAUAUAUAAUUGACAUUCAUGCAUUAUAGGGUUGAAAUUGUUAUGUGGUUAAAUGUGAUAUGUGGUCUAAUUGUAUGCUUUGGAGCAAAAAUACAUGUGAACAAUGGUUAUUAAACAUAGAACCCUAUAGUUGAUGGACAAGUAUGGACUAUGACAAUAGUUAAUAAACUGACAUUGUGAUUAAAAGGUAUGAAUAGCACCAAGUAGUGUGAAUAGUAAAUAAGGAAAACGAACUUGUAACAUUUUCAUGAGAUAAGUUGAUUAGCAUUUAGAGUGGACAUGCUAAACAUUGAAUUGUGGCAUUGUAUCCUCCAAACGAGGAUUCAAUCGUACUCACAAGUAGUCUAAUGCUCGAGAUAGGUAGCUCCACCUUGGGCGGUGAGCUCCAGAGUUGUCAUUAGCUGGGUUGGUAGUGGAAUUCUCCCCAGGAGACGGUGCCGUCGGGUUGUAGCGGAAUCCUACCUGACAAAAGGGAUUUGGUUGGUGAGUUGUAGUUAACCAAAUUGUUAACCAAGUAAUUGGGUUUUGGUAACUUGAUAGCAUGCAUGCAUAAACUUCAUAAAUUAUAUGUUGUUUGUUUCUAGCUUUGUACAGGCAUUGUAGUAAAUAUAGUUGGUUACUAUCUGUUCUCUUUCUUGCCUACAUAUGCCUGAUUAAAACUAGUUGGUGAGUCGGCGAGGUCGGCAGCCGAACCCACUGGGAAUUUUUAGUAGUUCCCACACCACUAAUCUUGCAGAUCCUAGCGUGAGCGGGGCGAUCGAGGAUCAGGGCAAGGUUAUCGCGCCCUAGAUAGUGGGCCUCCUUCAAGUAUAGUGUGCACCUGGGUUAUGAUCAUUUUGUAUUAUGAUGAAUGUACUAUGUAAAAGAACAUCAUGUAUAUAGUUGGAAACCUAUAGUGCAAUUUUGAUUAAUGGAUGUAAUAUAUGAAACUUGUAUUUGGUUUAAUUUUGACAAUGGAUAAUAUAUGUUUAGUUAGAAUUAUUUUCACUUUCGUUGUUGUUGUUUUGCUUGCCCUCGUGCAAGCCAUGUAUAGUGAAAUUUAUCUUGAGCAAAUUUAUUAUACUUGUAUCGUGGUUGUUGUGCCUUGGACGGUCAGAGGAGGUUCUGUCCAUUCGGCGUCUGUUUGACGUGGCCGAACCGACCAAAUUUGCGGUCACUGGACGUGACACUUGGGACCUUUCUGAAUAACCAAUAAAAUAUCCUGAUAUGAUUCAAGGGUCCAAUUUCUUUAUUUGUGGGUUAUAUAAUUUGGCCUCAGCUUGACAACCCCAUGUAUGAAAAUGUCUUAAACUGGAUUUCUUACCUGUCCAAAGCUCAAAAGAAGUCUUAGUGACAGCCUUAGUAGGGACUCGAUUAAGAAUAUAUAGGACAAUUUUAAGUGCCUCACUCCACAAUGAUAUCGGAAGGGUAGAAUUUCUGAUCAUAUUCCUGAGCAUAUCAAUUAAUGUGCGGUUCCUUCUUUCAGCAACAUCAUUCUGAUUAGGUGUCCUUGACAUAGUGUACUGUGGAACAAUUCCGCACUACUCCAAAAAUUUAGCAAAAGGCCCAAGGAUUUGGCCUUUAUCUGUUUGUCUGCCAAAAUAUUCACCACCCCCAUCUGAUCUGACUACUUUUAUUCUUUUCUCGAGUUGAUUCUCUACUUCAGCCUUAUAUGCCUUAAAGGCAUCUAAUGCUUCAGAUUUUUUCUUAAGCAAGUAGAGAUAGCCAUAUCGAGAGUAGUCAUCAGUAAAUAUGAUAAAAUAUUUAUGGCCAACAAUUGAGAGAGCAAGAGGUCCGCAUAUAUCGGUAUAAAUCAAUUGUAAUGUUCCAUCACAUCUUUUAGCACCUUUAGAGGAGGUUUUGGUCUGCUUUCCCUUAAUGCAGUCCACAUAAAUUCCAAAGUCAGAGAAGUCCAAAUCAUCUAAAAUGUCUUCUCUAAUUAAACUUUGGAUUCUUUGUUUCGAGAUGUGUCCCAACCUCUUAUGCCAUAAUAUAGAUGACCUUUCAUUAUUAAUGUCACAUUUUGAUCCAAUAUUUUCGUUCAUAGUAAGAAGGAUUUUACUAUAUGAAUCAUCUAAAGAUAUUUUAUAUAGAUUAUUUUCCAAAAUACCAAAGCCAACUAAUUGAGAUUUGUAGGAUAAAAAAAAAAUUUUAUUAUCAAAACUGAAACUAUAUCCCAGUCCAACAAGUUUCGAAAUAGAAAUUAAGUUAUUAGAAAUAUUUGGAAUAUAAAAUGUAUCUUCUAAAUGCAAAAUGUGACCAAUGGAAAGAACUAAUCUAAAUGUUCCUACGAAUUCUACUUUAGUUGGAUUUCUUGCAGCUGUAUAGAUAAUCGCUUCAUCUUUAUUAGGUUUUCUGUGAUUCUGAAAUUCCUGCACAGAAUUCACCACGUGGCAUGUGGCACCAGAGUCAAUCCACCAAGUAUUAAACGGAACAGAAACUAAAUGCAACUCAUGCAUCAAAAUCAAGAACUUACCUUUCUUCUGGAGCUGUAUCUAAUAUUUUUUGCAGUCCUUCUUCAUAUGACCUUUUUUCUUACAAAAGAAGCACUUGGGAGUCCACUUACUUGAUUGGCCUUGUGAACCAGAUGGAACUUCCUUAUUCUUUCUUUUUUGAGUCAUUCUUUCCCUUACCAUUUUUAGCUUGCUUUAUUUGUCUCUUUUGAGAAACAAAGUUAACUGCAUUUUGUUUCUCUUGUAUUAAUCUAUCUUUCUGCACACACAUGGUCAACAAUUCAUUAAUUAACCAUUUAUCUUUAUGUGUGCUAUAAGAGAUCUGAAAUGGCCCGUAUUCAUAUGGCAAAGAGUUCAAAAUAAAGUGCACUAAGAAUGAAUCAGAGAUGGUUACUUCAAGUGCAGUGAGUUGCGCUGCAAUAUCUCGCACUUUCAUAAUAUGCUCGCGAAUCGAGCCAUUUCCGAAGUACUUCAUUGGAAGACAGUUUAUUCAUUAAGGUACUCGCCAAGGCUUUAUCGGAGCUGACAAACUGCUCCUUAAUAGCUUUUAGAUAAUUCUUGGCUUUAUCACAUUCUGGAAUUUAUCCCCUUAUGCUUUUUGAUACCCUUGACUUUAUGAGUAUCAAACUUAAGCGGUUGGAUCGCUCCCACUUUUUCUGCGCGGAUUCCUGCUGUGGAGUCAAUGGCCUCACUAUCUUAGACGGUUGCUCAACGCGUAGAGCCAAAUCUAAAUCCAUAUAGCCCAAAGUAAGCAUGAUCUGUCUUUUCAUUCUGAAUAAUUGGAACCAUUAAGUAUAGGAACAGAUUCACCAAUACGAAUAGAAGAUGGAGUCGUAGCUGAAAAAUAAAAUGUAUGUUUUAUCAAUAAAAUACCACAUCAAAAUUACCACACAAAAAUUAGAAAAAUACCCUUUAUAUAAUAUCACAACACCUCCUUUGGGUGUAGAGUUAUAAGUAUUUUUCAUUCCUUAUGCAUAUGCUUUAUAUGGCAUCACAACCCCUCCUUUGGUAGCAGAGUUAUAAGCAUAAAUAUGCAAUCUCUUUACCAGAGAUUAAUUUAAACUUUCUGUAGGUCGUGGCAAAUUCAAAUUUCUCAUAUGAAAAAAUUGUCAACUUUAGCCAGGCAAAUUUCUCCAAAUGAGUUAUAAGAAAAGUACCAUCCUGCACCACCCAUGUACCUUUAUAUCUAGGCCUCCUUUGGGAGCCAACUAAAUAUAAUAUUAGGGUGCAAUUUCUGCACACACUUCUUUAUAGUAAUUAAUUUAUCUUUUCUUCCGCUUGGGGCCGCUUUGGCUUGCACUCGAACAGUUGAAGCAAUAUAUUAAUCUGAAUUAGUGCUGCAUGAUUAACAUGAAAAUUAUCCGGAAGCGCUACUUUAAAGUAAAUUAAAUCAUUAUUUCUUUUAAUUACGGUCGCUUUGGCUUGCACCUAACCAAUCGAAAUAAUAAAUUAAUUUAACUUAGCGAUGAAUCUUAAAUAAUCUAAAACAAAUAUGAUUAUUUAAAUUUUCAUGUUAUGUCCAAUCAAAAUAAGAAUAUAGAUGCAAUAAUUUAAAAGCAUAAUAUUGCAACCAAAUUUAAACUUUAUACAUUCUAAUUUGACCACAAAUUAGAUAUGUGAGGAUUAGAAUAAUAAUAAUAAUCCUUAAAAAAAUCAAAUCCAACUCAUGUUAUAUCUAUCAUCUUCACCUUUCUAGGCUUUCAUCAAAUAUUCGCAUCAAUGGCCGCCAUGCCCAUGAUCAGACUAUCCUUAAUGCGUGUUGCCGAAUAAUCAUCUAGAUUUUCCUUCUUCUUCUUUUUUUUUUUGCGCUCUUGUCACGCCCCGGAUUAACACAUUUUCCUAGGCACGCCAACAGACCCGUCGUAUACAUAGAAAUUUUUCAUGUAUACGAAGCAAUAGUUGUACCUGCAAACAAAUAAGAGCUACAACUAAAGAACAGAGUUGCUAAAACUGAAAUACCUAUAUAUAAAACAUAAAAGGGUCCACUGUACAUACAAAAGCUAACAAAACCACCUCGCUCCAGUGAAUACCACAAGUAUAACAGUACGUACAUAGCAAAACCACAAAACUACCUCUGAUGGGUGCUCCUCUAGCAAAAGACCAGAGAUGGAAGGGAUCUAGCUCGCGACUCCCUUACUACGGUCGAAAUCAGCGACAGCAACAGCCACAGACGAAGGCUCUGUAAGUGUGUCUCUGCCCAGCUCAAUCAGAUUCACACAGGCUAUAAUCAAUGUAAAUGGGUCAAACUGGUAAAACAACCAAAACUCACGUGCCCUCGGCACAAUCUAAAACAAGAUGCAAACACCUGGGUCCACCGUCAACCUCGACGGUACUCGACAGUACGGAACAGUUCAAACGCUACUGUACAACGAGCUCGGCCUCUCAGCACGAGCGUAAUGUCAACCUACACUAAACUGAGUAUCCACUACGCACUAACAGCGGUGAUACCAAAGAAUAACAGCUCCUGAAGCUAAUUCGGUUAUUUUUCGAAAAGUGACAGUGUAGGUUUAACGAGUUUUCUCCUAAGUCAAUUCCAAGUUCAGCAUAUAAACUUGUCUAAAAUUACUAGAUCAUGCUCCAAAACUCAGAUUUCAUAAAAUGUACAAAUUCAUGAACUUGAGCUACUAACAUGAUAACCAAAACAAGAACUGCAGGCUGAGGAAAUCUAGGUGGUGAAUAGCGUACUCCUGCAGCCUCUGUAAGUGAACUCCUCUUGGCCUCGCUCGCGGAACGUCACUGUCCUAGCUCCACAGUCGAUUAUCGUAUAGUACCAUAGCUCCACAGUCGAUUAUCGUAUAGUACCGAGCUAGCCAAUCCUUGCCAAGCACUACAUCAAAGUCUUGCAACUGCCCCAAGACCAAUAGGUCUGCAGGCAUAAUCCAAAAGCCCAACUGCAGUAAACAAGACCAACAACAGUCCGCUAUAUGUAAAACAUGGUCGGGAAUAUGCAACUCUCGUGCAUAUAACAGCGUUCCUAUCUUUAGUCCAUGCAAUGAUGCAAAUGCUCGACUAAUAAAAGAAUGUGAUGCACCGGUAUCAAAUAAUGCACGAGCUCUAAUGCCAGAAAUCAAAGUGAUACUUGCCACUACACGAUCUGCUGCUGCGGAGUCCUCAACCUGAGCAGCAUAAACCCUGCCACUCGAUGCCUGCUGUCGUCGCUCACUCUGCCGCGACAUUGAAGCCCUGUCAACCUGGCUAAAGCUCGGUGGUGCUCCAAAGGUCUGCUGAGGUACCAGCGGGACCGACGCCGUCGAAGGUGCCGGUGAUACUACUCAGGGACAAGCCGCCCGUAGAUGCCCUGGUUGGCCACAUCCAAAACACCGGCCCUCUCUCUGCUCACAAUAUCGAGGCCAAUGCGGUCCCCCAUAGAUAACGCACUGCGGAGUCCCCUGCUGCUAUCGCUGCUAAUGAGAUCCCCCAGAUCACUGCCGCCCCGAAGACCCACGACCCUGAAAGAGUGAUCGUGGAGUCCCCCGCGGACGUCUGCCACUGGUCUGUCCUCCGUAAUCUGGAAUCAAGCGCUUCCUCUCCUGACUCUGUCCCAGCACUGUCACCCGCUCACGGACUGAUACAGCUCCUCGCUCAACCCACAAUGCCUGCUCAAUCGACACAUCCAAGGUCCGCAAUCUCUGCGCCUAUACCAAUAAAAAAAUCUCUAGCCUCAAACCUCUCUCAUACAAAUAUACCUUAUGAGCUUCAUCCCUUGCUACAAACGGCACACAGUUCAGAAGCCUCGUAAACUCCCGAGUAUAUUGUAAGUUACGAGGAGCCCUCGGAUCUAUCUAAAUACUAUCAAACACCUAGAGGGGGGUGAAUAGGUGUAACCGUCAAAAACCACAAACUCAAUGCGAUACAAAAUAAAUGCGAAAAAUAAAAAUCACACAGAGAUUUACAUGAAAAAACUCCAACUUGGAAUAAAAAAUUCACAGGACCAACACACGAAAAAAUAAUUCACUAAGAGAAAAUAUUACAAGGUGAUUACCGACUCUACGGACUCGACCUCUUUUAACCUUCUAUGAAUCUCGCGCAAUCCUCCGGGCCGUCCACACCUUCACGUUCGAAUCGAUGAAUGCCACGCACACGUCCGAAUCCACGAACGCCACUCGAAUCCACGAGCUCACGAUCCGAAUCCUCGAACCGCCUUCGAUCACGCCGAAUCCACGAUGCCGUUCAUGAAGAACAUGAUUAUGGUGAUCCUUCGCUUAGAGUGUCGAUGAAAACCAAAGAAGAAUCUCUAAGCGAAGCGUAGAUCAAUUCGGCAUAUAGAUAUCAAUUUUCAAUACCUCGAAUUGACCUAAAAGAGGCUAAUUUGUAGAAAUAGGUUUAGAACGAAAACCUAGCAUCUAGUGUUUUUCAAACAUGUAUUCUCGUGAUGUUCUAUAAAUUAGAGAACCACAAUAGCUUAUGUAUAGACCUUAGAUCAAUUAGAGUCGGAUUAGAAAAAUUUCGCAAUUUUACACUGCGUAACGGUACUGCAUCAAGUUGGUACCAGUACCAGAUGACGGAACAAAAAAUUCCUUAGGCUGCAGUAUAGGUACUAGGCCGAUGCUGUACCGGAACCAGCUGCAGUACCGGUACUCUAUGCAAUUUCGAGAAUUGCAUCACCUGACCACUUCUAAUCCUUUAAACCAAUUAAUUACAUGAUUCUAAUGUCAUAAAUAAGUUUGAAUCACCAUAACAUGAAUUAAAAUCUUACCUUAACAUCGUGAUUUAUGCCGUGAGAUGUUUCUGAAUUCCCGAAGUCAUUGAUUCUUCAAUCUUCUUCAAUCACGCACCGAACCCUUCAAGACUCCGACUCAAAUCACGAAACUUGCCAACACAAAAUACUUAACAUAUACUCUUGUACUGACUGAUCCCCCUACUCCAGCUUCUUCAGGUCCUCCUCGAGUUUCUACUUUACGCUGCUUGGGAAAUAGGCCCGGUACAACAUCCCUCGAAACUCGUCCCACCUCAUCUGCAGUGCAUCCAAACCUCAGUUCUGCCGCAUCCUCCUUCACCAGGCAUGCGCAUCACCUGCCAAACAGUGUACCGCCAGAUGUACCUACUCUCGCUCUGGUACAAAGAGAUCCUCAAACAGCUUCUCCAUCGGACUCACCCACGCCUUUACAACCUAGCGCUCGGUGGAACUACCAUCGAAAUGAGGCGGAUCAAAACGGCAAAAACGAGCGAGCCUUUCAGUCAUCCGCUCAUGCUCGGCCUCUGACAUCUGCAACGCCUCUCCAGGAGGUGCAACUUGUGCUAUAGAAGCUAUCGCUUGGGGGGGGGUACAGCUGUGGCUGGUGCGGCCACUGGAAUAGUUGAAGGUGGCACCUGCGGCUCCAACGCUCUAGGUACCGCACUCGGCAGCUGAGUGAACGCCUCACACAUCCUCUGCAGUAACGCACUCUACUGCCUGGUCACCUCAAUCAAGGGAGCCAACUGCUCUCUCAAAUCCGAGGGUGCACUCGGUCCCACCUGCUCCGGCAUCUCCGAUGGCGCGAAACGAUCUCGCGUCGACGGUCGACCUUCGCGUCGAUAUGGUCUCAUGGCGACCUAAAACCAAAACAAGGGUAAGAUACAAAACACAAACAACUCUCGACCCAAUCAAGCAAAAGUCUAGAAGUCGCCCCUGUUCCUCCUCAAAAUUAUGCCGUAUGCAGCCGACAUAAUUUCUGCCAGACACUCCUUCAAUCACUCCCGCCACUCUAGGAGUUAAAACAACUCAAUUGCCAACUUUUGCAAUAAGUCACACCUCUCGCAUCUUGUCUUCCUAAGAUCUGCCAAAUCUAUGAUUUUCUAAGUCCCAACGACCUAAUUUUAAGCUCUGAUACCAACUUAAUCUGUCACGCCCCGGAUUAAUCGUUUUUCCGAGCACACCAACAGACCCGCCCGCCGUAUACAUAAAAAUUUUUCGUAUAUACGAAGUGAUAGCUGCACCUGCAAACAAAUAGGAGCUACAACCAAAGCACAGAGCUGCUAAAACUGAAUAUGUUUAUAUAAAACAUAAAAGGGUCCACUGUACAUACAAAAGCUAACAAAACCACCUCGCUCCAGCGAGUACCACUAGCAUAACAGUAUGUACAUAGCAAAACCACAAAACUACCUCUGAUGGGUGCUCCUUUAGCAAAUGACCAGGGAUGGAAAGGAUCUAACUCGUGACUCCCUUACCAUGGUCGGAAUCAGCAACAGCAGCAGCCGCAGACGAAGGCUCUGCAAAAAGAUAGCAACAACUGGGUGUGAGAACUACUGCAAAAUAGAGUAGUCCUCAGUGGGUACCGUCACCGACCCCAAUGGCCCACCCAGUAAGUCUACAGUAAUAAUAUGCAAAGGAUGGUAAGGAAAACUGGAAAUGACUCUACAGUUACAUGCCACUAUACUAUCGCUAACAAACACAAGUAAUCUGUAGAUAUAGACAUGUAUCACACUAACCCAAUCUCACAAGGGCUGCCCAAACGAACCCUUCCUGCCUGUAUCCAAGCUACACCGUACACCACCAACGGGGGUGGCCGGUCCAAGUAAACUGUCCAAACAGGACUGCUGCGACAUAAACGCAAGUAAAGCCUCACUCAAGAGCGGCACUCGUUGGCGCGACCCAACCGAGUAUGCAAGCGUGUCUCUGCCGAGCUCAAUCAGGCUCACACAAGCUAUAGUCAAUGCAAAUGGGUCAAACUGGUCUAACAACUAAAACUCACGUGCUCUUGACACAAUCUAAAACAAGAUGCAAACACCUGGGUCCAUCGUCAACCCCGACGGCACCCGACAGUAAGGAACAAUCCAAACGCUACUGUACAACGAGCUCGGCCCCUCAGCACGAGUGUAAUGUCAACCUACACUAAACUGAGUAUCCAUUACAUACUAACAGCGGUGAUACCAAAAAAUAACAGCUCCUGAAGCUAAUUAGUUUACUUUUCGAAAAGUGACAGUGUAGGUUUAACGAGUUUUCUCCUAAGUCAAUUUCAAGUUCAGCAUAUAAACUUGUCUAAAAUUAUUAGAUCAUGCUCCAAAACUCAGAUUUUAUAAAACAUGCAAAUUCUUGAACUUGAGCUACUAACAUGAUAAUCAAAACAAGAACAACAUGCUGAUAACUCUACGACUUAGGAGGAAAUUCGAUGAUUUUGAUAAACAUUAACCCACUUCGAGCGCUCGUCCAACGUCGGCUAGAAGUCGAUAGAAGAAACCUCGUGCUAGCUCAACCUCCGACGGUCUCAACCGGACUCAACCACGGCGCGCGCACAAUCCUCUGAAGACAAGCGAACGAAACUAAGAUCGAGCCUCAAAAUUACUAGGAAGAAGGCAAGAGAGCUAGAGAGAGAAAGGGAGUCACCCUACCUGAGUUCUCCAAGCUCCAAGUACAAUUGAGAGAGUAACAGGAUCGGUUUGGAUUUAUCGCCAACAAAAAUGACCAAAAGGCCCCUUACCAACUUAAUUUGCCACCUGGAGUAUCGGUACUCAACUUGGUACCGGUACUCAGCCCUCUUUUCUCAAUCUCGCACGCUGGGUAUCGGUAUUCACUACAACAAAAACGAUUUAUAGCGACACUUUUAAAUGUAGGUACAUGUCAAAAAAGUGCUGCUAGCUAAAAUUACCGACACUUUUAAAAAGUGUUGCUAUAUGUGGGGUCGCUAGGUAUAUAGUGACAGUUAAAGAGUGUCGCUAUAACCUAAAAGAGUGCUGCUAAUUUACAAACACUUAUUUAAGCAUUUAGCAACGGUCGAAACUCUAUCUCGUUGGCUGCGGUGGCGGAGGAGGACAACAGGAAACGCUCUUCGUCUAGAAUUUCAGUGGAUUGAGUAAAGAGAAAAGAAAAGAUGGUAAUGAAUUUUUCUUUUUUUUUUCUUUUCUAUUUGUAAUCAGGCCAAAUAGAUUGGGUGUGGUGGGUUGAGUAGAGUAAACUUUUAUUUUUGAUUGGAUUGGGCUUUAUAUUUAGGCAUUAAUAGAUAUUUUUUAAAGUUUUAGCAUAAAUGGGACACUUACUCAAAAGUGUCCCAAACAUGUGUCCCUAUAACCUAAUUCUGUUGUAGUGAUUAGCCCGAUACAGUACCAGUACUUAGUCCCAGUACCGGUACUCAGCAUUAAACUGCGCAAACCCGAGAGCAUUCAGUUCUGAGAUUUUAGAAAAAGAGGAGGAGAAAUAACUUAAUUUAGAGUGAGAAAAAAAGUUGAAGUUUAGAGAGAAAGAUAAGUUUAGACAAAGAUAUGAGGUUAGAGUGUAAAAAAAAAAAAAAAACUAGCUGGCGGGUGAAAAAAAAAAAAGAUUAGACAUAUUAUAAUUACUCCAAUCCAUUAAUAUAAGGGUACGUUUGGUUCGAGUUAUCCUGAUAGGAUUACAGGCAAUCCUGCCAAAAUUACUGUGUUUGGUUCAUCCGCUAUGUAAUCUAAUCGUUAAUAUAACAUUACAAAUCGAGCAGGAUUACAUCGAAAAUAUUAACGAGAGGAGGGUCGUGUAUCUUGCAUUACUGAAAACCGGUAAUACUAUAUAUUAUGUAAAAUGAUAAUUUUACCCCUCUAACUCUCGAAACCCUUUCAAUACUUCAUUUUAAAAAUUUUAAUUUAAAAUUUUGAAUUGUCAACUUUUAAAUUUAAUUUAAAUUUAAAUUUUAAAAUUUUAAAUUUUAAAUUUUUAAACUUCAAAUUUAAAAUUUUGAUUUCUGAAUUUUAAAUUUAGAUUUUAAUUUUUAAUUUUAUAUAUUUAUAUUUAAAUUUUAGAUUUUAAAUUUAUAAAUUUCAAAUUUUAAAUUUAAAUUUCAAAUUUCAAAUUUAAAUUCAAAUUGUAAAUUUAAAUCUUUCAAAUUUUAAAUCUUAAAUAUCCAAUUUUAAAUUUUAAAUUUGCUAUUUUAAUUUUUGAAUUUUUAAAAUUUACAAUUUUUAAAUUUAAAUUUUAAUUUUAUAAUUUAAUUAAUUUGGAUUUUAAAUUUAUAAAUUUCAUAUUUAUAUUUUAAAUUAAAAUAUUAAAUUUAUAUUUUUGUUUAAAUUUAAAAUUUAAAAUUUAAAUUUUAAAUUUUAAAUUUUAAACAAUUAAAUUAUUUAAAAUAAAAUUUAGUAAAAAAAUAUUAUUUGUAAACAGUAAAAAAAAAGUUUACAAAAUAUGGUUAAGGGCAAUUUUGGAAUAGACUAUACUUUAUUGUCUAUAUUACUGAAUUUUAUAAACAGAACCAAACAUAUUAAUGAUAUCAUCACUGUAAUCUAGUAUUAUAUUACUGUAUUAAACCAAACGCGCUAAUGCAGCAUAAGUAGUAAUUUCUUUUAGAAAUCCAAGAUACCUGGAUAUAUCGAAAUGCUCUGUAAUAUUAUAUAACUUGAACCAAACGCGCCCUAAGGAUACCCACCCUCUCUCAAAGGAAUGAGAUUAGUACUUUGGGAUGCAUCUCAUUCCCAACUACAUCGAGUAUUAUCAGCUAGAUUACUUAAUACGUUUAGCCAAACAUCGUCAAAUUUUUUUAUUCCUAUUGGAUUACUAGGAAUCUUAAAAAGAUAGCGCCAACCAAAUGCACCCUUAAAGUGUAUAGAUCCACAGUGGGUACUAGCCCAACUAUAACUUAGUCCAACCUAGUCUCUACUACGGUGCAAGACAUUGGACCUAUUUUAGCCAAUAAAAGAACGAACCGAGUGAGUAGGAGGGCUCGGGGGAGGGUGGAGUCGAAAAGAGAGCAAAAGGAGGAAUUCUACACUAUCACACUUGCACCACGUCAUCAAUAACAAGCCAAUCAUAUUUCUUCUUUUCAAAUAAAGUACAAUAAAAAUAUUUUUUAUAAUCAUGAUAGGAUAUAUAUCUCUAAAAGGAGAUUUUUUAUUAGUUUGGUAUGCCACGUCAUCAAUAUACCCGUUGCAUUCUAGAAUUUUUCGAGCAAAAGAGAGAGAAAUAGAGAGAUAGGAGAGAGUUAUGUAGCUGGUGGGCAGGAGAAAAAUAAUAAAAGAAAUGCAAAGUGAGAGGAGAAAGAAUUAGUGA
Molecule: long non-coding RNA, 88559 nt
Filed under: Ananas comosus (pineapple)
Lineage: Eukaryota; Viridiplantae; Streptophyta; Magnoliopsida; Poales; Bromeliaceae
Description: long non-coding RNA (ACOM_LNC006934)
Source: RNAcentral